UGGUUUGGAAAGGAAUGAAUUACUGGUGUAACACGAGUAAUUGUCGACGUACACUGAGUUCCUAAGUCCCACAGUAAGACGUGAUUAGCUAUAUAUCUCCAUGCAUAGAUGUUUCUAGAACAAUUACUUUUGUUCUCUGUAGCUUCCCUAAAAAAGUUUAUUCCUUGUAGCUCAAUCAAAUUUCAUUUACAUUGCAUUGUUUUUCAUCUCUUUUACAACUAGUCUUGUCAUUUCUUAGGGAGUGUCAAGCAAUAUUAGAAGCGGUCCGAGCUAUUAAAAUGAUCAUGACACUGAUGAUGAGGAGGAUGACAUCUAUGGCAACGAGGGAGAUGAUAGCUGUGGCGAUAAGCAUUAUGAUAAAGUAAAGAUCUGAAGUUUGUUGAAAAUUUAGCUUAUGCAAAUUGUCUGGACCUCUCUAAUACUAUUUUUUGAUUCGACACUUCCUAGAUGGAUUGUUAUUGUAAAUGUAAUUCAUAUGCAACUCAUUAGGUUUGUAAUACCUAGAUUAUGCUAAAUGUUCUUUUGGUCAUGUGCGGUUGUGUAAUUAUGAGAUGUAUCGGAAAUGCCAAUAUUGUGAAAUAUUGUGUAAUAUAUUGCACUUCCCUCUCAGUGAAAUUAAUCAGUGAGGGUUGACUAAUGGCCUAUGGCACAACAAACAUCUUGGGUAAAAAAAUGCAUACAUGCACUUUAGACAGUCGGCGACUUUCUAAAUUGAAGGUGCGAGCUAACCUUUCAACUAAAGGAAUCCCCAAAGGGCUGUAUGCACUAUCAGUAAUUACACUAACCGAUGGUUUGGCUCUCCUCUCAGUUGUGCAUAACCCUGACGGGUUGUAUAUACCCUUGGCUAUUAAGAAAACCGACGGUAAACAAUAACCGUCAGAUGAUAAACACCUGACAGUGAACCGUCGACUAUAAGCGCAUUCGACCUACUGGGAGCCAGGUGUAGGCAACAACAUAUCCGACGGCUCACCGUCGGCUUAUUACCGUGGGCAAAGAUAUAAUAUGAUGGUACCGUCGGUUAUUAGUAUAAUGGCUGACAAAGCAUAGCUGACGGGAGAUGGCCGACGGUGUACCGUCAGUUAUAAGAGUCUCCGACGGUGAACUUAAAUAUCCGACGGUAAUUGGACCAUCGGCUAAAAUGGGAAAUCUAGUAGUGCCAGAUCGUGGCUUCUCCCGCUCUCCCCCUUUUUUAUAAAUCUCUUCCUGGAACCCACGCAAGUACUAUGGUUGCACAUGGGAUCUUCACGUGGGUGGGCAUCCAUCAGGCGCUAUGGAUAUUUAAUUUAUACGUGUGUGACCCCGAUCAGCACUAAGGACACUUGAUUCAUCAUGCACGUUUGCUAGGUUGAUCGAUUCGGGAGAUCUUGUGAGGCCGUAAACCGCCGCUGUGCGUGACACGUGAUCGCUGUCUCCAAUCAACUCGAAUCCGGUUUGUAUUUGAAGUAGCCACGGCGACUUCCAGAUUACCAUAAAGUGGCAGUUUAUCUCGGCAAAACUGAUCCCUUGCCGGUCUUCAGCGGUUCGACGGUGCGGACGGCGCACAGCCAAAAACAUCUCUUGCCAGCUUUUGACCGGCUGUUGGACGUGGAGAUGCAUAGAUGCAACCCUAAAUCUUUCUCGAUCUCAAUCUUGUAUAUACUGUUGCGGAAACCUUCUUCAAUCUUUUACCGAUGAAACUCAUAGUUGAUGUGAAUUCUUCUGCGUCUGUUCUUUAUCAUUGGACCAAUUACGAUCUUCUCGAACCCUGGAAAAGAUCCCUCUAAGAACUUAACACCACCAUGUGCAGACCCCAUGGUGGACGCCAACUGUUGUGGAAUUGUCAUGUCAGAUGUCCUAGCGGAAGGACUUAGUCGUGAGGCCAACGCAUCUAUGUGGUAGCUUAAGAGGGGUUGAGCGGAAUCGAGAAACGCAACACAAGACGAGGAUUUAGACAGCUUCGGGCCCCGAGAAACAUCAUCCGGUAACAACCCUACAUGCUGUUUGAGGCUAGAUCUCAUUAUCAUCACGAGGGAGUCGCCGUAAACCGGCUCUCCUCUAAUUGCGUCUAGCCCUAGAGAUUGUUGUUUUCUUGUCCAUCUUUGGGGAGCCCUGCCCCUCCUUAUAUAAGUUACAGGGGCGGGUUACAUGUAGAGUCCAUCUCAGACUAAGACUUAAACUAUUUUGACUUCCCUUCCUGGGCUUCUUAACGUCUGCCGGUUUAACAUUGUUUGCCGGGUUAUGAUUGACUUAACACCUGCCGGUGCUACCAUCUGUCUUAACUCUGCCGGUUUAACACUCGCCGGUUUACCGUCUGUCUUAGCCAUCUGUCUUGACUUUCUAUCUUAACUCUCCGCCGGUUUACCAUCCGCCGGUUUACCAAGUCCCAGCCGGUUUACAACUCCAGCCGGGUCAUACCGCGGGGUAUAUCCCCGAGACAAAUCGUCCUGUGUCAAGAGUGCUUCGGAAGUAGAGUCAGGUGGCAAGGGAGCUUGGGGAUGUGCUGCUAGCUGAGUUGACGAACGAGUAACUCGUGCAGCUAGUGGUGCUAUGGAAGGUGUUGCAACAACUAGGGUUGUUUCUGCUUGUUUGGUGGCAGCUAUUGGUUUCUAUUUGGCUUGUUCUGCAGCUCCUGUAGCAUGGGAUACCCUGUUUGUACAAUUUUCUGCUGGACUUUGACCUUCUAUUGCACCAUCAGUACCAGCAGAAUCUGCAGGAUUCUUCCGCUUCCCUUUCCGUGUGUCCUUAGUACUAACACCAUCCCUUGUCAUUAUGUGUUCCUUCCUCUCUCUCUGUGCCAUGUUAAGUUAAGCCGACAAGAAAAAUGAAUAACAAUUUAGUUCUUCAGAACAAAUUGAUGUGUGAUACAGAUGAACUGAACUUUGAUGUUAGACAACCACAUGAUAGGAUGAUGUAAUAUGUACGAAAAACAGGACGGCAUGAUAUAAUCAGAACUAUGAUGUGUAAACUAAGAAGAAGACAUUUCACUAAAUUAGAAGCAAUGCAAUGGAAGGUAGACACCAUAUGAAAGAUGCUACAAAUAUCGCUCUGCCAAGUUAACAGUGUCUCGUCAUAACUGGCGUUUAAACAAAUGUGAAGCAAUACAAGAAAUAAAUCAUAUGCAAGAUGCAAACAACAUCACGCUACCAAGUUAAAGGUCUCUCAUCAUUAGGGCCAUUGCAUAUUCACAGCAUUGCAUAUUCACAGCUUAUGAUGUGUAAACUAAGCAGAAGGCAUUUCAAUAAAUUAGAAGCAAUGAAAGCUCGACACCAUAUGAAAGAUGCAACGAAUAUCACUCUACCAAGUUAAAAUUGUCUCGUCAUAAGUGCCAUUUAAAAAAAUUAGAAGUAGUACAAGCUAGAAAAGAAUGCGAGAUGUAAGGAAAACACAUGAUACCAGGAUGGAACAUGUACAAAACAGGACGACAUGGAAUAUUCGCAAAUGUUUGUGUAAACUAAGCAGAAGCCAUUUCAACAAAUAGGAAGCAAUGCAAGCUAGAAACCCUAUGCAACAUGCAAGACAAUAUCACACUGCCAAGCUAGAGAAAGCACCUGGAUGCCGGUUUCGCCGGAAGACCACCAUCAGUCCCUGCCUUAAUUUUUUCCUUCCUCUUUCUUAGUUGUAUUGCCUUGUCAAGUCAAACCCACAAGAAAAAUGAAUAAAAAUUUGCUUUUUAGAACUCAUUGAUGCAGGAUGCUGACAAGCACUACUUUAAUGUAAGGCGACCGCAUGAUAGGACAAUUGUAUGUGUAAGAAAAAAGGACAACAUUGCAUAUUGACAACUAUGAUGUGUAAACUAAGCAGAAGGCAUUUCAACAAAGUAGAAGCAAUGAAAGCUAGACACCAUAUGGAAGAUGCAACGAAUAUCACUCUACCAAGUUAAAGUUGUCUUGUCAUAAGUGCCAUUUCAACAAAUUAGAAGUAGCACAAGCUAGAAAAGAAUGCGAGAUGUAACCUAUAUCACACUCCCAAGUCAAACAUGUCUUAUGAUAAGUGAUUGUUGCAGGUUACACAACAGUAGUACUUUGAUGUAAGAACAUGGUGUGAUAGACAUAUAUUGUAUGUUCUAGAAACAGGAACACGCGUCUUAUUCACAAGUAUAAUGUGUAAAGUAAGCAGAUGGAAUUCAACAAAAUUAUAAGCAAUACAAUCUAGACAUCAUACAUAACAUGCAACCUCAUAUAACAAUGCCAAGUUAGAGGGAGCACAUGUGAUGAUGCACUAGGGAAGACGUGCUCAUCACCAACACAACUACGUUGAGUGUCUGUGCAUGUGUUGUCUUGCAAAUCAUCUUGGGGGUGGAGGAGUAGAAUCUGUAGAGGCCCUCCGUUUGGAAGGAGCGCCUUUAUCCGCUGCCUUGCUAAAUUCCUUCCGCUUUAUUGAUUUUGAAUUUUCAAAUAAAACCAACAAGAAAAAGCAAUAAAAUUCACUCUUCAGAACUCAUUCGUGCAUGAUACUGGCGAUCACUACUUUGAUGUAAGGCAAACACAUGAUAACAGGAUGGAAUAUGUACGAAAACAGGACGGCAUGGCAUAUUCAUAACUGUUUGUGUAAACUAAGCAGAAGCCAUUUCAACAAAUAAGAAGCAAUGCAAGCUAGACACCACAUGAAAGAUGCAACCAAUAUGACUCUGCCAAGUUAAAAGCGUCCCAUCGUAAAUGGCAUUUCAACAAAUUAGAAGCAGCGAAUGCUAUAAAUCAUAUGAAAGAUGCAACUAAUAUCACACUGCAUAUACUAAAGGUGUCUCAUCAUAUUGAUUGAUGCGGGAUACAAAAAAACAAUAGUUUUAUGUAACGACAUGCUUAAUAGACAUAUGUACUAUGUACUAAAAACAGGAAGACAUGUCACGUUAAUAGGUUUAAUGUAUAAACUAAGCAGAAUAGCAAAUGCAAUUUAACUAGAUUGGAUGAAUAACAAUCUAGACACCAUAUUCAACAUGCAACCACAUAUCAUGCUGCCAAGUUAGAGCAAGCACAUGUGAUGCUGGUAUAGGGGAAAUGCGAUAAUCAACUAUAGAGCUACAUUCACUAUCUUCAUCUAGCCUGACGAUGUGGGGAGGCUGACGAUGCAUUCUUUAAAUGAGGAUCUUUUCUCACAGUAGUCCACUGGCCUGACUGCCUCAUCAUAAGUGAUUGAUGAGGGAUACACAAGAACAUUAGUUUGAUGUAAGAACAUGGUAAGCAGAUAUAAUGUGUAAGCUAAGCAUGUCAUAUUCAAAGGUAUAAUGUGUAAGCUAAGCAGAUGCAAUUUAACCAAAUUAGAAGCAAUACAAGCUAAAAAUUCGGCUGGAGUGGUGAGCAUGAUCAUCGAGGACCUGAGAGCCUGAUGGGAGGCGGGCUGCUUCGCCACCAUCAUGGCUUUUUAGUUGGCUUCCAGGUGAUGCAUGUCUGUGUUGGGCUUGUCACUAGCUCGUCCAGUGCCCUGACUAGCUAUUUGUCUUCUGGUGCUCCCGGGAUGGUGGUUCAUGUAAAAAAUAUCUUUCCUUAUCUUAAUAAAGACCGACUUCGUCCUUUUCAAUAUAAGCUAGACACCAUAUGCAACAUGCAACCACGUAUGACACCGUGAAUUUAAAGCAAGCACCUGGGAUGGUGGUUCACGGCGAGCGAGAUCAUCAACUCCAGGGCUAUGUUUACCGUCUUCGUCUGUUGAACAUCCAACCUUUAAAGCAUGGAAACGUGUCUUGCCUGCCAGCGAAGCAAGAAGGAGCGACUUCUCUCUUCUCUUUUCUCCUUCUGUCAAGGCAGAGUCUGAAAUACCCUUGCAUAAAAACAUAAUAGUGAGAGUAUGAGUGAAGUGUGUGCAGAACUAGUGCACUGUAAAAGUAGCAGAUAGCAGGUGGCUGAAAAAUAAAUGACAGGAGACUUAUGAUAGCUCUACAACAUUGCAUGGAAACAAAAUUAGAUUCUACUCCGUAUGAUUUUGUAAUAUAUGAGCACCGGGAUGGCUGGGAAAUGCAGGUACUCCUCCAGCACACCACCACAUGUGGUCCUAUCAAAAUAACAGUCGACUAAAAAUAAAUAGGCCAGUCGAUUUUUUAUGAACCAUCCGAUCUAUAAGGAACGGGCAGAUGGCCUUCCUCUACCUCCCGCCAAUUAUUGUUGAUGAUCUUUCUCAAACCGCCAGCAACCACCGGCCUAGACCACUGCCUCCGCCGCCCCGCCCUCCCCUCAACCUGACACCGCCGCCGUGCUUGGCAGCGCCCCCGGCCAUCCAUUUAAUCCUGGCCGACCUCCAGAUCCGGCACUAGCAACUCCUAGGCCCCACACACCCCUAAGAUAAACACUGAGGCGCUGCUUCCCCGGCGUAAUAGGCGAACUAGCGCAUGUUACGCCAGGGAAUGCUUCCUUUAAUUGGGAAUCAACUGACCAGGAAUUGAAAUCCAGGGGGCCGAUGGACCUCUAGCUAAGGCGAAAUAGUAUAUGAGGAGAAACCUUGUGCAUCACGAGUUACUAGGAACAUCUAGUUGCUGGGGAACGUAGUAAUUUCAAAAAAAUUCCUACGCACACACAAGAUCUAUCUAGGUGAUGUAUAGCAACAAGAGGGGAGAGUGUUGUACAUGUACCAUCAUAGACCGAAAGUGGAAGCGUUAUGACAACACAGUUGAUGUAGUCGUACGUCUUAACGAUUCGACCGAUCUUAGCACCGAAGGUACGACACCUCCGCGAUCUGCACACGUUCAGCUCGGUGAUGUCCCAUGAUCUCUAGAUCUAGCUGAGGUCAAGGGAGAGUUUUGUCAGCACGACAGCGUGAUGACAGUGAUGAUGAAGUUACCGACGCAGGGCUUCGCCUAAGCACUACAACGAUAAGACCGAGGUGGAAAUCAGUGAAGGGGGGCACCGCACACGGCUAAACAAUCAACUUGUGUGUUCUAGGGUGCCCCUACCCCCGUAUAUAAAGGAGCAAGGGGGAGGCCGGCUGGCCCUAUAGGGGUGCGCCCCAAGUAGGAUUCCUACUAGGAAUAGGAAUCCUAUUCCUAGUAGGUUUCCAACAAGGAAGAGAGGGGGAAGGAAGGAGAGGGAGAGAGGGAGAAGGAUAGGUGGCGCCGCCCCCUUCCCUAGUACAAUUCGGACCCAAGGGGGAGGGGCACGCGGCCUGCCCUAGCCGCCCCUCUCUCUCUCCACUAAGGCCCAUGAGGCCCAUUAGUUCCCCCGCGGGGUUCCGAUAACCCUCCGGGCACUCCGGUUUUAUCCGAAACUUCUCUGGAACAUUUUCGGUGUCCGAAUAUAGUCGUCCAGUAUAUAAAUCUUUAUGUCUCUACCAUUUUGAGACUCCUCGUCAUGUCCAUGAUCACAUCCGAGACUCUGAACUACCUUCGGUACAUCAAAACACAUAAACUCAUAAUAUCGAUCGUCAUCGAACGUUAAGCGUGCGGACCCUACGGGCUCGAGAACUAUGUAGACAUGACUGGGACUCACUUAUGGUGAAUAACCAAUAGAGGAACCUGGAUGCUCAUAUUGGUUCCUACAUAUUCUACGAAGAUCUUUAUCGGUCAAACCGCAUAACAACAUACGUUGUUCCCUUUGUCAUCGGUAUGUUACUUGCCCGAGAUUCGAUCAUCGGUAUCUCAAUACCUAGUUCAAUCUCGUUACCGACAAGUCUCUUUACUUGUUCCAUAAUGCAACAUCGCGUGACUAACUCAUUAGUCACAUUGCUUGCAAGGCUUAUAGUGAUGUGCAUUACCGAGAGGGCCCAGAGAUACCUCUCCGAUACACGGAGUGACAAAUCCUAAUCUCGAUCUAUGCCAACUCAAAAAACACCAUCGGAGGCACCUAUAGAGCAUCUUUAUAGUCACCCAGUUACGUUUUGACAUUUGAUAGCACAUAAAGUGUUCCUCCGGUAUUCGGGAGUUGCAUAAUCUCAUCAUGAUAGGAACAUUUUAUAAGUCAUGAAGAAAACAAUAGCAAUAAACUAAACGAUCAUAGUGCUAAGCUAAUGGAUGGGUCUAGUCCAUCACAUCAUUCUCUAAUGAUAUGAUCCCAUUCAUCAAAUGACAACACAUGUCCAUGGCUAGGAAACUUAACCAUCUUUGAUUAACGAGCUAGUCAAGUAGAGGCAUACUAGGGACACUCUGUUUGUCUAUGUAUUCACACGUGUACUAAAUUUUCGGUUAAUACAAUUAUAGCAUGAAUAAUAAACAUUUAUCAUGGUAUAAGGAAAUAAAUAAUAACUUUAUUAUUGCCUCUAGGGCAUAUUUACUUCACUAGUAUCAGGAAGAAGUGGUCAACUAGUGUCUUCUGUGGGAUGAAUACCGUGCAAGCAGACACGUAAGAUUUGCAUGAAUAAGGAAAGAGGAUUACCAUUUCCGGUUGCCAGUGCUGGGUCCUCCGGAUGUCGCGACAAUUUUAUUGUUUUUACCUAGGGAACCGAUGUUUUGGAGGAGGGUCGAGCGUUGGAUGAACCCAUGGCCAAAUUGUUGACUAUAUUGCGGUGGUCGUCUGUCGGUGGAGGGGAAGCAGAUCCGAGGCGGCGAAGGACGGUGUAGCAGGAACAACUCCGAUGCGGUGGACGGUGGCGAAGUUGGAGCGGCGGCGGUGAGGCGCAGGACGGCGUGGUUGAACUGGCUCGGGUAUGGACAUCUCGGCCUCAGCUUCAACUACUAGCCAUGGAGGGCACUGCGGUUACGGUUGCGGUGGACAACGACGUCGGGGAAUCGGCUCCGGCGUGAUGGAGGAGGGCGGCGGUUGAUGGGUGGGAUGGGGUGGCAGAUGGAGGACGCCAGAGUAUGAAUGGGGAAUCAUAUGGGGGGUGGGGUGCGGGGGGAGCUAUUUCAUCCACGGGCUCCUGUUCAUCCAGCCUCCACCGCUCCUCCACCGGCUACUGUUCAACUAGCCCUCUCCAUGGGGUCCUGUUAAACCACCCCUCCAUGGCCUACUAUUCAUCCAGGCCUCCACGGCCACUGUUCAACCAACCCUCCACGGGGUCGUCCUGUUCAUCCAGCACUCCACGGGGUCAUGUUCAUCCACCCCAACCGGCUCGAUCGAUCGGGGUCAUGUUCAUCCAGCGGCAACGGCCUCUACUACCAUAGGGUCAUGUUCAUCCACCCCCCGUAAGAACGCUCAUUGUUCUUCAAGAGGCAGCAUGUUUGAUUGGCUUCAGUUAGCAGCAGUAGUGAAGGAAUCACUCGAUCGGGUUUAGUUAACAGUCAUAUCGAUCGAUCGCUCGGGUUCCGUAACGCGUAGCCUGCAGUGCAAUCGCUCGGGUUCAGUAGGCGAACGCCUCGCUCGGAUUCAGUUAGAUCCCAAUGCCUCGCACCCACGCGCAUCGCUCGGCCCCGACCACCCACCGUAACCGGGAACUCCCCGAUAUUUUCCUCGCCCUCGCUUCUACCAUGGUUUUUUCCAUCAUGGACGGUGCAAAGAAUGUCAUGCAACUGUGUCUCCGGCCAGCCUAGGAUGAAAAUCCCAUUUUCUGUCAUGAUUUUUUGUCAUAGAAGUAGGAUCCCACCACAUCUAUGAUGAUACCGGAUUUUGUCACAAUUAUCAUCAUAGAAGUGUCAUAAGCAUGACAGAAAAAAAUUCGUUCGGCCCAAAAUGUCACGGAUGUGUCUUUUUUUUGUAGUGAUCACCUCAACUUUUUGCCUCCCAUUGAAGUCCUCAAAAGGACUAUUUCCUCAGUUGACGAAAAAGGCAAAGCUGUUGUUAUUGAUGAAGGCACCCGUCCAUUGGAUGGUCAGUUUCGCAAAGCUGCAUCUUACUCCAACAAUGAUGACUCUACAACAUAGGACUCUGUCACAAAAGCCUCAAAGCCAACUCCUCAAGCCACUGCCCCACGCGUGAUGACUGAUCGUGAGAUUCUUCUAAGUUUUCAUCAGAAGGUCGAUCGGAAUCACAAAUGCGUCAAGCGUCAAUUUGGCUCAAUUCUUCAGAACAUGACUAUCACGCAAAACAUUGUAAAGAAGAAUCAUUACUAUGCACAUGAAAUCUUCGACCGCACUUGGGCUAUUAUAUCUCAUCUUUACAGUGAUAAAGAUCUCAAGCAGAUGGGGUUUCAACAGGACUUUGACUGGUCUCAUCCUCCUUUGAAGAAAUUCAAGAAGGUCAAAGUUCCUCAGUCGGUCACAAGUUUAUAUUCUUCAUCACGUGACACGGAUGAAGCUGAAGAUCUCAACGACACUGCGGCAGGCCCUACUUCAACGGACGACCCUAACAACGCUGGCACUCCUCCAUCAACAUCAUGAUGAUAUUCUUCAGGGGCGUUAGUCCUCAUUUUUCGUCCCUUUUGGUCAUUCGAUGACAAAGGGGGAGAAAUUUGAGUUAGUCUUCAAGCGGGUCUUAUAUAUGGGAUGUUUUUUUAAAGUUACAACUCUUGCUCUUGUGAGGUGUUUGCUCUGAUGAGUUGUAAACUUAAGUCUGAUGGUGGUCUGAUACUUUUAAACUGCUUUCUGCAUGCUUAUUUCCUCAAGUACCUUAAUGCAUGCAUGCUGAAUUUCGUCAGACAUCAUAUUCCAUCAUGCAUUUAAACUUCGUCAUGUUAUAUGUUAAAUGUGUGUAUGAAUUACAAGAUAUAUGGGGAGAUAUCCAUAAUUUUACUCUACAAUGUGCAUUUGCAAUCGAAAGGAAAUUCCUCAAAUAUGCACAUCUUUAGGGGGGAGUUCUUCUAUAUCUUGCAAUCAAAUUCCUCAAUAUCAGUAUUUACACUUCAUAUGUUUAUCCCCGUUGAAAACUUAACCUAUUUGUCAUCAAUCACCAAAAAGGGGAGAUUGUAAGUGCAUCUAGUGCCCCUUAGUGAUUUUGGUGUAUUGAAGACUUAUAGAUUAAGGGCUAAUGUGUUUAUGAGAGUACACAGGUUCUAUAAGUCUAUGAGGAGUUUGAUAUUUACGAAGAAAGUCGACCUCUAAAAAUGAAUGUCUUCAUUUGAAGACUUUGGUUUUCUUGAAGACUUUGAAAAUGAGGAAAUUGGUGUGACCUUGAAGACUUUGAUAUUGAUGUGAUGAUUAUGAAGCAUGAAUACUUUUGUUUUUGUAGUUUCAUUUUGUCUUUCUUGAGUCAUAGGAAACACCGUAAUGUUAAAGGGGAUCGGGGUAAAACUAAGGAAAAGUUUCCAAGUGAUGCUCAUCUCAGAGCCUACACAUACCCAAUCGUUUCAAGUGAAGCCAUUGGAAAUCUCAUACUGUUCAGUCAAUUUCUUCAGUGACAGAGACGAAGAUCUUCUGUUCUUUGGGGAAUUUGUUCUGACCGAGGAGUUAGGAUUUUGCCAGUGCGGAUUGCCUACAAGUGAGGAACAUGACAGCCCUGAGAAAUUUGAGAGCUCAAAUUUCCAACCGUUGAUGUGCUAAGCGCCAGCUGUCCCAAAUAUCUUAUCCACCUAACGAUCAUAUCAUUGAAAGGAAUUUAUAUCUUAUCAUGUCGGGCUGCUCCCCGGCUAUAAAUAGGCGCCCCCUACUGAAGGAAAUAUGCCCUAGAGGCAAUAAUAAAGUUGUUAUUUAUAUUUCCUUAUAGCAUGAUAAAUGUUUAUUAUUCAUGCUAGAAUUGUAUUAACCGGAAACUUAGUACAUGUGUGAAUUCAUAGACAAGCAGAGUGUCCCUAGUAUGCCUCUACUUGACUAACUCGUUAAUCAAAGAUGGUUAAGUUUCCUAACCAUAGACAUGUGUUGUCAUUUGAUGAACAGGAUCACAUCAUUAGAGAAUGAUGUGAUGGACAAGACCCAUCCAUUAGCUUAGCAUUAUGAUCAUUUAGUUUUAUUGCUAUUGCUUUCUUCAUGACUUAUACAUAUUCCUCUGACUAUGAGAUUAUGCAACUCCCGAAUACCGGAGGAACACCUUGUGUGCUAUCAAACGUCACAACAUAACUGGGUGACUAUAAAUAUGCUCUACAGGUGUCUCCAAAGGUGUUUGUUGAGUUGGCAUAGAUCGAGAUUAGGAUUUGUCACUCCGUGUAUCAGAGAGGUAUCUCUGGGCCCUCUCGGUAAUGCACAUCACUAUAAGCCUUGCAAGCAAUGUGACUAAUGAGUUAGUUGCGGGAUGAUGCAUUACGGAAUGAGUAAAGAGACUUGCCGGUAACGAGAUUGAACUAGGUAUGAUGAUACCGACGAUCGAAUCUCGGACAAGUAACAUACUUAUGUGAAAGGGAAUAACGUAUGUUGUUAUGCGGUUUGACCGAUAAAGAUCUUUGUAGAAUAUGUAGGAGCCAAUAUGAGCAUCCAGGUUCCGCUAUUGGUUAUUGACCGAAGAUGUGUCUUGGUCAUGUCAACAUAGUUCUCGAACCCGUAGGGUCCGCAUGCUUAACGUUCAAUGACGAUUUGUAUUAUGAGUUAUGUGAUUUGAUGACUGAAGUUUGUUCGGAGUCCCAGAUGAGAUCACAGACAUGAUGACGAGUCUUGAAAUGGUCAAGAGGUAAAGAUUCAUAUAUUGGAAGGUUAUAUUCGGACAUCGGAAUGGUUCCGAGUGAUUCGGGUAUUUUUCUGGAGUACCGAGGGGUUACCGGAAGCCCCCGGGGAAGUAUUGGGCCAGCAUGGGCCUAAGGGAGAGAGAGGGAAGCCCGCGGGGGUGGCCAUGCCCCCUCCUUGGGAGUCCGAAUAGGACAAGGAGGAGGGGGCGGCGCCCCCUUCCCUUUCUCUCUCCCUCUCCUUCCUAUUCCCUCCGGUGGAAGAAAGGAAAAGGGGGGCCGAAUCCUACUUGGACUAGGAGUCCAAGUAGGACUCCUCCCAUGGCACGCCCCUCCUAGCCGCCGGCCUGUCUCCCCCUCCUUUAUAUACAUGGGCAGGGGCACCCCAAAGGCACAAAAGACAAUCUCUUAGCCGUGUGCGGUGUCCCCUUCCAUAGUUUAACACCUCGGUCAUAUCGUCGUAGUGCUUAGGCGAAGCCCUGCACCGGUAACUUCAUCAUCACCGUCACCAUGCCAUCAUGCUGAUGGAACUCUCCCUCGACCCUCUACUGCAUCAAGAGCUCGAGGGACGUCAUCGUGCUGAAUGUGUGCUGAACACGGAGGUGUCGUACGUUCGGUACUUGGAUUGGUUGGGUCAUGAAGACGUUCAACUACAUCAACUGCGUUACUAAAUGCUUCCGCUUUCGGUCUACGAGGGUACGUGGACACACUCUCCCCUUGUUGCUAUGCAUCUCCUAGUUAGAUCUUGCGUGAUCGUAGGAAAUUUUUGAAUUACCACGAUCCCCAGUAGUGGCAUCCGAGCCAGGCCUAUGCGUAGAUGAUAUAUGCACGAGUAGAACACAAUGAGUUGUGGGCGAUAAUAGUCAUACUGCUUACCACCAACUUCUUACUUUGAUUCGGCGGUAUUGUUGGAUGAAGCGGCCCGGAUAGACAUUACAUGACCACGUUCAUGAGACUAGUUCUACCAACGUGCUUCGCACACAGGUGGCUAGCGGGUGUCUGUUUCUCCAACUUUAGUUGAAUCGAGUUUGACUAUGGUCGAUCCUUAUUGAAGGUUUAAACAUCACACUUGACAAAAAAAUCGUUGUGGUUUUGAUGCGUAGGUAAGAACAGUUCUUGCUAGAAGCCUGUAGCAUCCAUGUAAAACUUGCAACAACAAAGUAGAGGACAUCUAACUUGUUUUUGCAGGGCAUGUUGUGAUGUGAUAUAAAUUGUUGUAUUAGAUGACGAAGUUUUGUAAAAGUUAUCGACAACUGGCAGGAGCCUUAUGGUUGUCGCUUUAUUUUAUGAAAUGCAAUCACCAUGUAAUUGCUUUACUUUAUCACUAAGCGGUAUCGAUAUUUGUAGAUGCAAUAGUUGGUGAGACAACGACGAUGCUACGAUGGAGAUCAAGGUGUCAAGCCGGUGACGAUGGAGAUCAUGACGGUGCUUUGUAGAUGGAGAUCAAAGGCACAAGAUGAUGAUGGCCAUAUCAUGUCACAUAUUUUGAUUGCAUGUGAUGUUUAUCCUUUAUGCAUCUUAUUUUGCUUAGUACGGCGGUAGCAUUAUAAGAUGAUCUCUCACUAAAUUUCAAGGUAAAGUGUUCUUCCUGAGUAUGCACCGUUGCUACAGUUCUCGUGCCAAGACACCACGUGAUGAUCGGGUGUGAUAAGCUCUACGUUCACAUACAAUGGGUGCACGCCAGUUUUGCACAUGCAGAAUACUCGGGUUAAACUUGACGAGCCUAGCAUAUGCAGAUAUGGCCUCGGAACACUAAGACCGAAAGGUCGAACGUGAAUCAUAUAUUAGAUAUGAUCAACAUAGUGAUGUUUACCAUUGAAAACUACACCAUCUCACAUGAUGAUCGAACAUGGUUUAGUUGAUAUGGAUCACGUGAUCAUUUAGAUGACUAGAGAGAUGUCUAUCUAAGUGGGAGUUCUUUAGUAAUAUGAUAAAUUGAACUUUAAUUUAUCAUGAACUUAGUACAUGAUAGUUUUUGCAUAUCUAUGUUAUUGUAGAUCAAUGGCUCGUGCUACUGUUCCCUUGAAUUUUAAAUGUGUUCCUAGAGAAAGCUAAGUUGAAAGAUGAUGGUAGCAACUACACAGACUGGGUCCGUAACUUGAGGAUUAUCCUCAUUGCUGCAUAGAAAAAUUACAUCCUGGAAGCACCGCUAGGUGCAAGACCCGCUGCAGGAGCAAUUCCAGACGUUAUGAACGUCUGGCAGAGCAAAGCUGAUGACUACUCGAUAGUUCGGUAUGCCAUGCUUUACGGCUUAGAAUCGGAACUUCAAAGACGUUUUGAACGUCAUGGAGCAUAUGAGAUGUUCCAGGAGUUGAAGUUAAUAUUUCAAGCAAAUGCUCGAGUUGAGAGAUAUGAAGUCUCCAACAAGUUCUACAACUGCAAAAUGGAGGAGAAUAGUUCUAUCAGUGAACACAUACUCAAAAUGUCUGGGUACCAUAACCACUUGACUCAGCUGGGAGUUAAUCUUCCUGUUGAUAGUGUCAUUGACAAAGUUCUUCAAUCACUGCCACCAAGCUAUAAAGUCUUCGUGAUGAACUAUAGUAUGCAAGGGAUGGAAAAGACAAUCCCCGAGCUCUUCGCGAUGCUAAAGGCCGCAGAGGUAGAAAUCAAGAAGGAGCAUCAAGUGUUCAUGGUGAACAAGACCACUAGUUUCAAGAAAAAGGGCAAAGGAAAGAAGGGGAACUUCAAGAAGAAUAGCAAGCCAGUUGCUGCUCAAGGGAGGAAGCCCAAGUGUGGACCUAAGCCUGAAACUGAGUGCUUCUACUACAAAGGGACUGGUGACUGGAAGUGGAACUACCCCAAGUAUUUGGUCGAUAAGAAGGAUGGCAAAGUGAAAGGUAUAUUUGAUAUACAUGUUAUUUAUGUGUACCUUACUAAUGCUCGUAGUAGCGCCUGGGUAUUUGAUACUGGUUAUGUUGCUCAUAUUUGCAACUCGAAACAGGGGCUACGGAUUAAAUGAAGAUUGGCUAUGAUCGCCUUCGGCACGCUACCUCUACAUCUACCAUCGGGAUUAGUUUUAGACCUAAAUAAUUGUUAUUUGGUGCCAGCGUUGAGCAUGAACAUUAUAUCUGGAUCUUGUUUAAUGUGAGAUGGUUAGUCAUUUAAAUUAAAGAAUAAUGGUUGUUCUAUUUAUAUGAGUAAUAUCUUUUAUGGUCAUGCACCCUUGAUGAGUGGUCUAUUUUUGUUAAAUCUCAAUUUUAGUGAUACACAUAUUCAUAAUAUUGAAGCCAAAAGAUGCAAAGUUAAUAAUGAUAGUGCAACUUAUUUGUGGCACUGCUGUUUAGGUCAUAUUGGUGUAAAGCGCAUGAAGAAACUCCACGCUGAUGGGCUUUUGGAAUCACCUGAUUAUGAAUCACUUGAUGCUUGCGAACCAAUCCUCAUGGUUAAGAUGACUAAGACUCCGUUCUCCAGAAGAAUGGAGCAAGCAACUGACUUAUUGGAAAUAAUACAUACUGAUGUAUGCGGUCGGAUGAGUGUUGAGGCUCGCGGCGGGUAUCAUUAUUUUCUGACCUUCACACAUGAUUUAAGCAGAUAUGGGUACAUCUACUUGAUGAAACAUAAGUGUGAAACUUUUGAAAAGUUCAAAGAAUUUCAGAGUGAAGUGGAAAAUCAUCGUAACAAGAAAAUAAAAUUUCUACAAUCUGAUCGUGGAGGUGAAUAUUUGAGUUAUGAGUUUGGUCUUCAUUUGAAACAAUGUGGAAUAGUUUCGCAACUCACACCACCUGGAACACCACAGUGUAAUGGUGUGUUCGAACAUUGUAACUAUACUUCAUUAGAUAUGGUGCGAUCUAUGAUGUUUAUUACUGAUUUACCACCAUCGUUUUGGGGUUAUGCUUUAGAGACGGCCGCAUUCACGUUAAAUAGGGCACCAUCUAAAUCAGUUGAGACGACGCUAUAUGAACUAUGGUUUGGCAAGAAAACUAAGCUGUCGUUUCUUGAAGUUUGGGGCGCGAUGCUUAUGUGAAAAAGCUUCAACCUGAUAAGCUCGAACCCAAAUCAGAGAAAUGUGUCUUCAUAGGAUACCCAAAGGAGACUAUUGGGUACACCUUCCAUCACAGAUCCGAAGGCAAGAUAUUCGUUGCUAAGAAUGGAUCCUUUCUAGAGAAGGAGUUUCUCUCGAAAGAAGUGAGUGGGAGGAAAGUAGAACUUGAUGAGGUAAUUGUACCUUCUCCCGAAUUGGAAAGUAGUUCAUCACAGAAAUUAGUUCCCGUGAUUCCUACACCAAUUAGUGAGGAAGCUAAUGGUAAUGACCAUGAAACUUUAGAUCAAGUUACUACCGAACCUCGUAGGUCAACUAGAGUACGAUCUGCACUAGAGUGGUACGGUAAUCCUGUUCUGGAGGUCAUGUUACUUGACCAUGACGAACCUAUGAACUAUGAGGAAGCGAUGAUGAGCCCAGAUUCCGCGAAAUGGCUUAAGGCCAUGAAAUCUGAGAUGGGAUCCAUGUAUGAGAACAAAGUGUGGACUUUCGUUGACUUGCCCAAUGAUCGGCAAGCCAUAGAAAAUCAAUGGAUCUUCAAGAAGAAGACUGACGCUGACGGUAAUGUUACUGUCUACAAUGCUCGACUUGUUGCGAAAGGUUUUUGACAAGUUCAAGGAGUUGACUACGAUGAGACCUUCUCACCCGUAGCGAUGCUAAAGUCUGUCCGAAUCAUGUUAACAAUUGCCGCAUUUUAUGAUUAUGAAAUUUGGCAAAUGGGUAUCAAAAUUGCAUUCCUUAAUAGAUAUCUUAAAGAAGAGUUGUAUAUGAUGCAACCAGAAGGUUUUGUCGAUCCUAAAGGUGCUAACAAAGUGUGCAAGCUCCAGCGAUCCAUUUAUGGAUUGGUGCAAGCCUCUCAGAGUUGGAAUAUACGCUUUGAUGAAGUGAUCAAAGCAUAUGGUUUUAUGCAGGCUUUUCGAGAAGCAUGUAUUUACAAGAAAGUGAGUGGGAGCUCUGUAGCAUUUCUAAUAUUAUAUGUGGAUGACAUAUUGUUGAUUGCAAAUGAUAUAGAAUUUCUGGAUAGCAUAAAAGGAUACUUGAAUAAGAGUUUUUCAAUGAAAGACCUCGGUGAAGCUGCUUAUAGAUUGGGCAUCAAGAUCUAUAGACAUAGAUCAAGACGCUUAAUUGGACUUUCACAAAGCACAUACCUUGAUAAAGUUUUGAAGAAGUUCAAAAUGGAUAAGUUAAAGAAAGGGUUCUUGCCUGUGUUACAAGGUGUGAAGUUGAGUCAAAUUCAAUGCCCUACAACUGCAGAAGAUAGAGAGAAAAUGAAGGUCAUUCCCUAUGCAUCAGCCAUAGGUUCUAUCAUGUAUGCAAUUUGUGUACCAGACCUGAUGUGUGCCUUGCUAUAAGUUUAGCAGGGAGGUACCAAAGUAAUCAGGAGUGGAUCACUGGACAGUGGUCAAGAACAUCCUGAGAUACCUGAAAAGGACUAAGGAUAUGUUUCUCGUUUAUGGAGGUGACAAAGAGCUCAUCGUAAAUGGUUACAUCGAUGCAAACUUUGACACUGAUCCGGAUGACUCUAAGUCACAAACUGGAUACGCAUUUAUAUUAAAUGGUGGAGCUGUCAGUUGGUGCAGUUCCAAGUAGAGCGUCAUGGCGGGAUCUACGUGUGAAGCAGAGUAGAUAGCUGAUUCGGAAGCAGCAAAUGAAGGAGUCUGGAUGAAGGAGUUCAUAUCUGAUCUAGGUGUAAUACCUAGUGCAUCGGGUCCAAUGAAAAUCUUUUGUGACAAUACUGGAGCAAUUGCCUUGGUGAAGGAAUCCAGAUUUCACAAGAGAACCAAACACAUCAAGAGACGCUUCAAUUCCAUCUGUGAUCAAAUCAAGGAGGGAGAGAGAUUUGCAAAAUACAAACAGAUCUAAAUGUUGCAGACCCAUUGACUAAGCCUCUCUCACGAGCAAAACAUGAUCAGCACUAAGACUCCAUGGGUGUUAGAGUCAUUACUAUGUAAUCUAGAUUAUUGACUCUAGUGCAAGUGGGAGAUUGAAGGCCCCAGAGGCAAUAAUAAAGUUGUUAUUUAUAUUUCCUUAUAUCAUGAUAAAUGUUUAUUAUUCAUGCUAGAAUUGUAUGAACCAAAUACUUAGUACAUGUGUGAAUACAUGGACAAACAGAGUGUCCCUAGUAUGCCUCUACUUGACUAGCUCGUUAAUCAAAGAUGGUUAAGUUUCCUGACCAUAGACAUGUGUUGUCAUUUGAUGAACAGGAUCAGAUCAUUAGAGAAUGAUGUGAUGGACAAGCCCCAUCCGUUAGCUUAGCAUUAUGAUUGUUUAGUUUUAUUGCUAUUGCUUUCUUCAUGACUUAUAUAUAUUCCUCUGACUAUGAGAUUAUGCAACUCCCGAAUACCAGAGGAACACCUUGUGUGCUAUCAGACGUCACAACAUAACUAGGUGAUUAUAAAGACUAGACGUCAACCCAUGCGAGCCGCACGGGCUAGCUAAUGAGACAAUAACAUAGUAGAAAAUUUCCUAAAUAUUGGUCAUAUAUACGUAAAAAAGGAAAUAACUAUGAAUUCAUAGACUUUGUAUUAAGCCAUUGAAAUGCUUUUCAACGUGAAAGUAUGUUCUUUAAUCAUACAUUUAAAAUUGAAUUGAAGUAACAUACACAUAUAAGAACAUGAUAGUUAUUUCCCUUCCCACAGAAAAUUUAACUAUUUCUUUAAUAUUUGCAAAGAGCUCCCAAAUGUAAAAAAUGUUGAAAUGCUUAGGUUUCAAAAGUAUUCAUCCAUUUGUUAACUACCGCAAGUGUAUUAAAUAUAUAAAUAUGUUCUGCAGAAAUAAAAGCUAAAGCAUACAUUCAAAUAUGUUUGUCAAAGAAAAUACAGUUGUAGGAACAAACAACAUUCUGAUAUUGAAUACAAAAACCAACAAAUAAAACUGCUCAAACUUUCGUACAUAUAGUGCAUAAUUAUUGAACCAUAGAAAUAAGCAUGAUCUCUAUAAUCAUGAGAUUCUACCAAACAAUUAAAUAACUAUGAGCCCAUGAGUUUCUGCCAUGUUGUUACGAUGAGAAACAUAUGGUUUCUUCAUGUGUAAUCAUUCUAAUUAUUUGAGUGGGAUUGUUCGAUGAUUGUAGAAUGUAAACAUCACUAAUCAAUGAAUUAGUUUUUCCAAAUAAAUUAUCAAAAAAUCUGUAAAAAAAUCUAAACUCAGAGGAAUUUUGCAACAACAGUACACCUCCGAUAUCAUCUCUUGAUUAUACAUCAUUAAAUGAAUGUCUCUUCCCUGAGUGAGUUUAUAGCAGCCACUUACUUAUUUCUCUAAUCUCGCAAAUCAAGUGCUAGUGAUCUUAAAUAAUCAAAUGGUUAUACAAAUCGGACGCAUACCUGUAGAUCACUAGUGCCUUGUGAUGCACACUAGUUUACAUGAAAAAUUUGGACUAUAUAUACCUUUACAAAGCAUUAAACAAAACUGAAGUGUGUGUGUGUGUGUGUGUGUGUAUCAAAAGGAAGAUGAAUAGAGUGGGCGAAGAUUAUUAUAAUUCUUUUUGUAAGACAUAUAUAGUUUAAUUGAAAACCUAAUAGUAAUUUCAGAAACAAUUUUAGUUGUUUUCAACAUGCAAAAAAAUUGUGUGUUGUUUAUAAUCAGAAGAAAGAAAGAAAAAUCUUGGAAGUAUGAAUGUCACCUUGCUUUGUAACUUCACGGCAUAAGAACUUAUAACAAAUUAAAAUCUUAACCAUGCAAUCAUGCUUGACAAAAUGAUACAUUAGGCACCUACGAAAUGAGUCCAUGAUUUUUGGCAUGUGCCUUGCAUGAAAUAGAGAUGAAAAACGGAUUUUUAUUGGACAUCGGAAGACAAUAUCUUUGAAAAUAUGACUAUGUAUCGAAGCUGGAAUUAAUAUCAUCCAAGUAAAAAACUUUUGCUAGUCAAAAUGAUAAUUCCAAUUUCAUAAGACAGUUAACAUAUUUUUCAAUGACUAAUUUUCUUUGUUCUAAGCUACAAAACCACUUAUGUCUACUUUGCAGUAGUAUUUGGGUCAGAAACAGCCAUAUUACAAUGUGGAGAUUUUAAGAUUAGUACACGUUUAGUCCAUGAAAAAUGAAAGACUCUAAUUGAAAAGAAAGAUUAACUCUUAGUUGUCAUUUAGUUUGUAUUUAGUUAGGAACUGCAUAGCCUAACAGUGUGAUUCAACCAACGGAAUAAAAAGUUUCUAUAAGAACUGGGUGAGAAACUGAGUAUAGACAACCUUCACACCUAGAGAAGCUUGACCAAUGAUGAUAUUGACAACCGACAAAGGCUACUGAACUAUCAGUUUGCCCAUAUAUUGGAUCAAGUAAAAAAGUAGAAAUUUCUCCAGAACUAGCACUUUUGGCAACAUGGGCAAACACAAAGACAACCCCUCGUAGUUUGUCCCAUGGAAGAUCUAAUUAAUGUUAACAUGUAUGAAGUCCGCUGAUGAUGUUGCACACCUAUCGUGACCUUCACAGACGCCCCAUUACCCCGACUGUCUGAGACCUUUUCCUGCAAGUAUCGACCUGUUCACUGAUAUUGAGGAUCAAGGAAAAAAUAUCAUGUUGCAUAUAUUCUAAAAUAAAAUUUUCAUAAUAUUUCACAUCACUUUAGUGUUAUAGUCAUCUUGAAGACUUGAGCAGUUGCCUAAAUCAAAUCAUGAAACUAUAUCAUUGUUCUAUUUACUAAUAUAUGUUAUUUACUACACGAAAAAUACUAUCUUUCAUAUAAUAUUUAUAAAAUUGUGAUUCUUUGGUUCCGUCACACUAUCUAUAGAUGAAAUCCAAAUGUUGUUUUCUGAUGAUUUUAACAUCUAAGUGCGAUUUUAUAGGCUCAAAGUGCUCUCCAACGUAAACACGAUGUAACAUCCCAAAUUUGCAAUUUGGAAUGUUAUACACUAGAUCAUCAUGCAUAUCAUAUUUUCAUGCAUUUUAGUUGAUCCUAGAAAUUUCACGCAACUCAAGGACCCACGAAGAGAGUUGGAGAUUUCGUUAUUUUCAUAUUUGAGUUCUCUCAAAUUUUGGAAAAGAGGAUCAUUUGAUUUAUUUAUUUCAUCUUCAAUUAUUUUUCCAAUAUAAAAAAAUGAGAGAGGGAAUAAUACGACUUUCCCAAAGUUAGGAAAAAUGAAGAUUUAAUGAAUAAGUCAAGUUUUGGUUUUGCCGGAGUUUUGUUUGCUUUUAUUUGGAUAGGGAAAAAUGCGCGUUUUCAAAAAUUGCAUUUUAGGCCCGGAGAAAAGUUCAUUUUGUUUGACUCCUUUUUAGGAGUCGGGGAAAAUUUACUUUAGAUUUUUCGGAGUUCGUUUAGAUAGUUUUUCUUUUGUUUUUCUGCGCGCGAAACCGAUUUUUUUUUAAAAAGGAGUAGCUCCCGCGCGCCAGGCCAGCCGCCACCGCCCCCAGCCCCUCGCGNNNNNNNNNNNNNNNNNNNNNNNNNNNNNNNNNNNNNNNNNNNNNNNNNNNNNNNNNNNNNNNNNNNNNNNNNNNNNNNNNNNNNNNNNNNNNNNNNNNNNNNNNNNNNNNNNNNNNNNNNNNNNNNNNNNNNNNNNNNNNNNNNNNNNNNNNNNNNNNNNNNNNNNNNNNNNNNNNNNNNNNNNNNNNNNNNNNNNNNNNNNNNNNNNNNNNNNNNNNNNNNNNNNNNNNNNNNNNNNNNNNNNNNNNNNNNNNNNNNNNNNNNNNNNNNNNNNNNNNNNNNNNNNNNNNNNNNNNNNNNNNNNNNNNNNNNNNNNNNNNNNNNNNNNNNNNNNNNNNNNNNNNNNNNNNNNNNNNNNNNNNNNNNNAAACCGUUCCGGUUCUUCUCUUUUUUCUUCCGGUUUUUCUUCCGGCUUUGUUUCGAUUUUCUUCCGAAACCCUAGAUCGGUUUUCAUUCUUCUUUCGGACCGUUCGUCUCAACGAACGUGAUCACCGAAUUUUCCCGGUUAACGACGCCCGUUCGUUUAACCGUUCAUCUCUUUCUUUUCGUCGGAUUUAUUCCGCGAUCGCGAUCUCAGAUCCGAUCUUCGUUCUAGUCUUUCUUCCCGCUCAUUUAUCGGAAUCAGGUGAUUCAAGCGCCUGGAGUUUCGUCUCGAAACCGCCGUUCCGUCUAAUCAACUUGAACAAGCCUUUGCUACAGUAAAAUUUGACCUAGUUUCAACUUGCUAGAACCGAGUUGCUUUCUUCCGCCAUUUGUUUUUCCGUCGUCUGUUCGGUUCUUUCUUUCUUUGCAACCGGAGUUCUUAAGUUGAACUUUCUAGUUCGUUCUCUUGUUCGAGUUUUACCUGUGCAUUAGAUGAGUACUUAUUGUGUGCUUGUUGUUUGUCUGCGAUAGAUCACCCGGAUUGCGCCGCUUGUUACUUCGAAACCCUAGGUCUCGCGGAUCAUCAGCAAGGCAAGUAACACUUUGAUCAUACCUUUUCUACAACCCAUGUUUUAUUGCAUUAGAUCAAUCCUCUCACAUUGCAUGAUUAGGAUCUAAUUAAAUUAUGGGAUGGGAAGUAGAUGAGGUAGUACCUAUUACCUGUAUUAUUAUCAAACCUUUGGGAGUUACUUCUACGUUUGCUUAUUAUGCCAUGCUAUGCUAGUAGACGUGGAUUGGGUGAGUGAUAUCCAUGACAGAUGUGAGAUUGAUAAUUAAGGGUUUAUCUAAGGUGGCAACUUGAACACACAUCUGGGUGGAUUGAGGCACCUGAUGUCUACCAGGACAUGCCUGUUUUUAUUUCGGACCGCCACCCAGGCUCAAAGGGAUCAUAAGAUCAUUCAUGCUAGUAACUUCCGUGUGCAGCCACAAGCCAUUAUGGGCUCUGGCAUAGUUGAUUAAGUCGUGCGAACUCUUAUAGGGUAGACUAGCAGAUGUAGGGGAAAGUAGGUGUACCGGUCUAUCCAUCGUAAGGUGCUAGCGCUUCUGAAAGACUGUGUCUCGGUCAUCCGUCUUCUCAAACACCAUGUAGUGCGAGAAACCAAACGGAUGCGAUCGAGUCUUGUGGGGAAAAGUGCGCAAACCUCUGCAGAGUGUAACAAACUAAUCAUGAUUAGCCGUGUCCCCGGUUAUGGACAACUUGAGUAUCUAGUACUUGAAUAUCAUGUGAAUCUCAUCACGUUACUUCUAAUUAAUGUUGUUGGGUUUUAAUUACUUAAUUGGGAUCGGAAUGCUGUCAACCAUUCUCGAUGUUUAACAACUACCAUGAUAGUUAAAUAAAUUUAUUCCUUUGCAGUAGGGAAAAACUGGCUUUACGCAAAACUGUAACCAUAGAGCUUUCCACCAGCCAUAUAUGCAUGUAGUAUAGCUGUUUCAUUCCAUUACUCUCUAUGUGUUACAUUGCCAGCAUAUUCCAUGUGCUGACCCGUUUUCGGGCUGCAACUUCUCAUGUUGCAGACUUUUCAGACGACGAGUAAGGUGCUUUUAGGUCGUGGUUCUAUACUCAGUGAUGCCGUUGGAGUUGAUGGACCCAUUUAUCUUCCGAGCCUUCCGCUGUUAUCGUUAUUAGAUGGCCUUAGGCCAUAUUUAUUGUAAUAAGAAUUCUUUGAGACAUUGAUGUAAUAAGUGUGUGAUUGCAACUCUGCUAUAAAUCCUUCGAAGUACUGUGUGGUGUCAGCAUUACUGAUCCAGGGAUGACACCGGAGCACAGUAGACUUGAUCCAUUCGGGUCGGGUCGCUACAGAGAUGGUAUCAGAGCACACACUGACUGUAGGACACGACCACUAAGUUAAAGCCAUAGAUCACCAUUCUCUUCUCAUUUUCUAACUCCUCAUCGUUUCUACUCUUUUAGGAUGACGAACGCGAAGAUUAAGUACGCUCAACCGGAUGAAGGCACACCAUUUGGAUUUCACCUGAAGGAAGUCACCAAGUACCUGAACAUUGGAUUACCAAGCUUCACGGGAACCUUCAACGCCACUCUGCCUGAAGAGGAGCACUGGAAGAUUCAAGCUCACGUUCCGGGAAGGACAUUCACACCAAUCACGAAGCCUAUAGAUAGUGUUUUCAAUGCACCAACCUGGAGGCUGGGAAGGAGCAUGGGAGCUCAUAUCACCAUGGGACGCAUUGGAGAAAUUUAUCAAGAAGACCUCAAGGACACUAUCUACCAGAUUUGCGGACACCGAGACGAACAAUGGGAGUUAGUCAGCACCAAGAAGGAUAGAUCCAUUGCAUCUUUCAUCCAGGAGUUAAACCAGCACAUUCGACGCCACGAGAACCAGAUGUGCAAUGAUAUGAUAGAGUUGAAGAAUGCAAAGGCAAGGAUCAUCAAGCUAGAAGGAGAACUGAAGUCUACACGCAAGGACUACAUGGACGAGAUCGUAGCUCUAGACACAAUGGCAAUCUUAAGCAGGAGAUUGAAGAACUCAAGAGGAAGUUAGCAUCCAAGGAGGAAGACGAGUACGUCGCAUGUCCGGGCAACUACAUCAUCAUCGACGACACCGAUUCGGAUCCAAGUGAACCCGACUUUGAAGACGAAGCUGGAGCAGAUAUCAUGGAGUCUUCCACCGGUUCAAAUUUCUAGAUGACCACCAGAUAGUAGUAGUAUUCCCCCAUGUAAACAUCAUAGUCGAGCACUUUUGCGAUAGUUUUAGACCGAUUGUAAGCCCUUGUUUGAUUGAAUGAAGUGAUUUUGGGUGCAUUUGCUCAUGCGCAUUGGGGUAGUGUUUUUCUCUUUAGACCUCACUCUAUUCUUAAUUCUCGUUUUUUCUAAACCCUCAGAUGCCUCCGAGACGUGACAAUGGAUUCCCACCGAAGCUCACUCAGUUGAUCCAGCAGUAGAAUCAAUUGAUGCAGAUGUUAGUCCAGAACCAGCAGAACAACAACAACAACAACCCACCACCACAACCACCACCACCUGUUGACCACUUAGCCCGUUUCCUUAGGCUGAAUCCGCCGGUGUUUUCCAGUAGCACCGAGCCAAUAGUAGCAGAUGAUUGGCUCCGCAAGAUAGGAAGGGAGUUGACCACUGCAGGAUGCACAGAUGGUGAGAAAGUGAAGUUUGCCGUACAUCAGCUUGACGGACCCGCGGCAGCAUGGUGGGAGAAUUUCACAGCCACUUACCCAGUUGACACUGUCACAUGGGAUCAGUUUCAGCAAGCUUUCCGCACUGCCCAUGUUUCAGCAGGAGCUAUGGCCAUGAAGAAGCGUGAGUUUCGCAACUUACGCCAAGGAGGAAGGACAGUUGGCCAGUACAUUGACGAUUUUAGCAAGUUAGCACGUUAUGCCCCAGAUGACGUUGCUACAGAUGCAGCUAAGCAGGAGAAGUUUUUGGAAGGACUGAAUGAUGAACUAAGCAUGCAUUUGAUGGUAGCGAGUUUCAACAACUACCAGGAGUUGGUAGAUCGUGCCAUCAUGAUUGAAGGAAAGCAACAGCAGAUUGAGAACCGUAAGAGGAAGUAUGGACAGGGGAAGUAUAACUCUAGAGCCCAGCAGAAGCCCCGUUUUACCCCUAAACCGGGUUUUCAGUUUCAGCAUACCCAUGGAGGAGGUAGUUCGCACAACCAUAAUGGCCACAAGAAUGGUAAUGGGAAUGGAGGAAGCAACGGCCAGAACCGUACCACCCCAUCGACCCCAACCAAGAGAGAUCUGAGUCAAGUCACUUGUUUCAAGUGUUCCAAGACCGGACAUUAUGCCAAUGAAUGUCCCGAAGGCCAGAAUGGAAAUGGAAAUGGAAGCUCUGGGAAGAAGCCGAACCCUUUCAAUAGGGGACAGGUGAACCACGUUAAUGUGGAGGAGGUUGAAGAUCAGCCUGAUGCAGUAAUCGGUAAGUUUUUGGUUAAGACAUUUACCGCACUCGUUCUUUUUGAUACUGGUGCAUCGCAUUCAUACAUAUCAAGGGGAUUUGUGGAAAAGUAUAGCCUGCCCACUAGGAUUCUUAAAACGCCUAUGCUAGUAAGCUCGCCAGGAGCAGAGUACAUGGCCAGACAAGGAUGUUUCCAAGUGCCAUUAAGUAUAGAAGGCAUGUUUUCCCAACGGAUUUAAUUAUUCUGGAGUCCCAAGGUCUGGAUGUGAUUCUUGGUAUGGAUUGGCUGUCGAUGUAUGGAGGAAACAUCGAUUGCGCCAGUAAGACAAUUUUGCUUACCACACCAGAAGGAAGAAGGAUCAAGUAUGUAUCCCGGCAUGUGCCAAACAGGACACAAGUAAACUGCCUAACAGGAGUUGUGCAAGAAGAAGUACCAGUGGUAAAGGAUUUUCCCAAUGAAUUUCCUGAGGAAUUACCAGGCAUGCCACCGGAUAGAGACAUUGAGUUUUUGAUUGAGUUAUUGCCAGGUACAGGCCCAAUAUCGAAGCAACCGUACCGGAUGCCAGCAAAGGAUUUGGUGGAAAUUAGGAAUCAGAUUAAGGAGUUAUUGGAUAAAGGUUACAUUCGCCCAAGUUCUUCGCCUUGGGGAUCACCCGUACUUCUAGUGGAAAAGAAGGAUGGAUCAUUAAGGAUGGUUGUAGAUUAUCGGGGAUCGAAUGAAGUAACCAUCAAGAAUAAGUACCCACUGUCAAUGACUAAUGAUCUGUUUGAUCGUUUGCAAGGAGCUAAAGUGUUUUCCAAGAUCGAUUUGCGAUCAGGGUACCAUCAAUUGAAGAUUCGAGAGCAGGACAUACCUAAGACAGCAUUCACCACAAGAUAUGGACUGUAUGAGUAUUACCGUUAUGUCAUUUGGAUUGACUAACGCACCUGCCUAUUUUAUGAACCUGAUGAACAAAGUGUUUAUGGAGUUUUUAGAUAAGUUCGUCGUAGUGUUCAUUGAUGACAUCCUGGUUUAUUCAAAGAAUGAAGAGGAGCAUAAGGAACAUUUGCGUUUGGUUUUGGAGAAACUAAGGGAACAUCAGUUAUACGCCAAAUUCAGCAAAUGUGAGUUUUGGUUGAAGGAAGUUGGAUUCCUCGGACACGUUAUAUCCGGAGAAGGUAUAGCAGUUGACCCCACUAAGGUUGAGACCGUAACCAAAUGGGAAUCACCAACGACGGUUGGAGAGAUCCGGAGUUUUCUUGGACUCGCAGGAUACUACCGGAGGUUCAUUGAGAACUUUUCAGAGAUUGCAAAGCCUAUGACUGAAUUGUUGAAGAAGGAUACUAAGUUCAAUUGGACUGAGGAAUGUGAGGCUAGUUUCCAGGAAUUGAAGAAACGCUUGGUUACCUCACCAGUAUUGAUUUUGCCAGAUCAGACCAAGGAUUAUGAGGUGUAUUGCGACGCUUCACGUCGAGGGCUUGGAGCAGUGCUUAUGCAGGAAGGAAGAGUUGUUUCGUAUGCUUCACGGCAACUGAAGCCUCAUGAGUUGAAUUAUGCCACGCAUGAUUUGGAGUUAGCAGCCGUAGUGCAUGCAUUGAAAACGUGGAGACAUUUCCUCAUUGGAAAUCAUUGUGAGGUGUACACGGAUCACAAGAGUUUGAAGUACAUUUUCACGCAGAAGGAGUUGAACCUCAGACAAAGGAGAUGGUUGGAGCUCAUCAAGGAUUAUGACAUGAGAUUGCAUUACCAUCCCGGAAAAGCUAAUGUGGUAGCUGACGCAUUGAGCCGUAAGAGCCAUGUCAACACCCUAGUGACGGGAGAAGUACCAAAGGAGUUAGCAGAAAACCUUCGUGAGCUAUGUUUGGAAAUAGUUCCGAGAGGCUAUGUAGCAACAUUGGAGAUUCAGUCAACAUUGAUGGAUAAGAUCAGAGAAGCUCAGAAAUCUGACAAGGAGAUUGCUACUAUAAAAGAGAAAUUGAGCGAAGGAAAAGCAAAGGGAUUUCGUGAGGAUGAGCACGAUACCUUAUGGUUUGAGGACCGUGUUUAUGUGCCCAAUGACCCGGAGAUCAGGAAGUUGAUUUUGCACGAGGCACAUGAUACACCAUAUUCGAUUCACCCAGGGAAUACCAAGAUGUAUUUGGAUUUGAAGGAAACAUUCUGGUGGACCGGAAUGAAGAAGGAUAUUGUAGCAUAUGUAGCAGUUUGUGACGUAUGUCAGAGAGUAAAGGAAGAGCAUCAGAAGCCAGCAGGAUUGUUACAACCAUUGCCAAUACCCGAAUGGAAGUGGGAUAAGAUAGGCAUGGAUUUUAUCACAGGACUACCCAGGACGAAAGCAGGCUCUGACUCGAUAUGGGUAGUAGUUGAUCAUUUGACGAAGGUAGCACAUUUCAUUCCAGUUAAGACCACUUACACCAGUGCUAAGUUGGCAAAGAUAUACAUGACUAGGAUCAUUUGUUUGCAUGGAGUUCCAAGGAGUAUCGUAUCAGAUAGAGGAACUCAAUUUACCUCAAAAUUUUGGAAUCAGUUGCAUGAAACUUUAGGAACCAGACUAGAGUUCAGCACAGCUUUUCAUCCGCAGACAGAUGGACAGACCGAGAGAGUCAAUCAGAUUUUGGAAGAUAUGCUGAGAGCUUGUGCACUAGAUUAUGGAUCUAGCUGGGACGAUAACUUGCCGUAUGCGGAGUUUUCUUAUAACAACAGUUACCAAACCAGUUUGAAAAUGGCACCUUUCGAAGCUUUAUACGGAAGGAGGUGCAGGACACCGUUGUCAUGGGACGAAGUUGGAGACCAUCAAUUCUUUGGACCAGAUUUGAUUAAGGAGUCUGAAUGGCAAGUUAAGUUGAUUCGCGAUAGGCUCAAGGUAGCCCAGUCCAGGCAGAAGAGCUACGCAGAUUCAAAACGCAAGGAGACAGUUUACGAAACUGGAGACAGAGUUUACCUUCGAGUAUCCCCACUUCGAGGAGUUAAGCGCUUUGGAGUUAAGGGAAAAUUAGCACCGCUCUUCGUUGGACCGUACAAGAUCUUGCAACGUAUGGGAGAAGUCGCUUAUAAGUUGGAAUUACCAGAGGAGCUGUCAGGAGUUCAUGAUGUAUUCCAUGUUUCUCAGCUGAAGAAAUGUCAUGCCGAGAUGGCGGAGGUACCGCUAAGAGAUACCGUGCCACUCGAAGCGAUUCAGUUGGAGGAUGACUUAACAUAUGAGGAGAAGCCAGUCAAGAUUCUCGAUUAUGCCAGCAGAGUUACCCGCAGCAAGGUUAUCAAGUUUUGCAAAGUUCAGUGGAACCACCACUCAGAGGAUGAAGCCACCUGGGAAAGAGAAGAAGAUUUGCUCAAGGACCACCCUCACCUAUUUUCUAGCCAACCCGAAUCUCGAGGGCGAGAUUCAUCUUAAGGGGGGGUAGGUUUGUAACAUCCCAAAUUUGCAAUUUGGAAUGUUAUACACUAGAUCAUCAUGCAUAUCAUAUUUUCAUGCAUUUUAGUUGAUCCUAGAAAUUUCACGCAACUCAAGGACCCACGGAGAGAGUUGGAGAUUUCGUUAUUUUCAUAUUUGAGUUCUCUCAAAUUUUGGAAAAGAGGAUCAUUUGAUUUAUUUAUUUCAUCUUCAAUUAUUUUUCCAAUAUCAAAAAAAAUGAGAGAGGGAAUAAUAUGACUUUCCCAAAGUUAGGAAAAAUGAAGAUUUAAUGAAUAAGUCAAGUUUUGGUUUUGCCGGAGUUUUGUUUGCUUUUAUUUGGAUAGGGAAAAUGCACGUUUUCAAGAAUUGCAUUUUAGGCCCGGAGAAAAGUUCAUUUUGUUCGACUCAUUUUUAGGAGUCGGGGAAAAUUUACUUUAGAUUUUUCGGAGUUCGUUUAGAUAGUUUUUCUUUUGUUUUUCUGCGCGCGAAACCGUUUUAAAAAAAGGAGCAGCUCCCGCGCGCCAGGCCAGCCGGCCCAAGGCCCAGCCAGCCGCCACCGCCCCCAGCCCCUCGCGCGAAGCCGAGUCCCAACGGGACUCUAGGCCGCCCCCCCCCCUUUUGCCCCUUGGCCAAGUCACACCCCCCUCCUAGUAUAUAUACUCGCCCCCCCUCUCUUUUCCUCCACCACCCAAGCCGCCGCCGCCUUAAGCUGUCGCCGCCGCCCUAAGCCGCCGCCCGGAGCCCCGCCUCCCGAGGUAGCCGCGCCGCCUCUUCUUUUCCUCGGUUCGGUUUUUCUUCUAGAAAACUGUUCCGGUUCUUCUCUUUUUUCUUUCGGUUUUUCUUCCGGCUUUGUUUCGGUUUUCUUCCGAAACCCUAGAUCGGUUUUCAUUCUUCUUUCGGACCAUUCGUCUCAACGAACGUGAUCACCGAUUUUUCCCGGUUAACGACGCCCGUUCGUUUAACCGUUCAUCUCUUUCUUUUCGUCGGAUUUAUUCCGCGAUCGUGAUCUCAGAUCCGAUCUUCGUUCUAGUCUUUCUUCCCGCUCGUUUAUCGGAAUCAGGUGAUUCAAGCGCCUGGAGUUUCGUCUCGAAACCGCCGUUCCGUCUAAUCAACUUGAACAAGACUUUGCUACAGUAAAAUUUGACCUAGUUUCAACUUGCUAGAACCGAGUUGCUUUCUUCCGCCGUUUGUUUUUCCGUCGUCUGUUCGGUUCUUUCUUUCUUUGCAACCAGAGUUCUUAAGUUGAACUUUCUGGUUCGUUCUCUUGUUCGAGUUUUACCUGUGCAUUAGAUGAGUACUUAUUGUGUGCUUGUUGUUUGUCUGCAAUAGAUCACCCGGAUUGCGCCGCUUGUUACUUCGAAACCCUAGGUCUCGCGGAUCAUCAGCAAGGCAACUAACACUUUGAUCAUACCUUUUCUACAACCCAUGUUUUAUUGCAUUAGAUCAAUCCUCUCACAUUGCAUGAUUAGGAUCUAAUUAAAUUGUGGGAUGGGAAGUAGAUGAGGUAGUACCUAUUACCUGUAUUAUUAUCAAACCUUUGGGAGUUACUUCUACGUUUGCUUAUUAUGCCAUGCUAUGCUAGUAGACGUGGAUUGGGUGAGUGAUAUCCAUGACAGAUGUGAGAUUGAGAAUUAAGGGUUUAUCUAAGGUGGCAACUUGAACACACAUCUGGGUGGAUUGAGGCACCUGAUGUCUAUCAGGACUUGCCUGUUUUUAUUUCGGACCGCCACCCAGGCUCAAAGGGAUCAUAAGAUCAUUCAUGCUAGUAACUUCCGUGUGCAGCCACAAGCCAUUAUGGGCUCUGGCAUAGUUGAUUAAGUCGUGCGAACUCUUACAGGGUAGACUAGCAGAUGUAGGGGAAAGUAGGUGUACCGGUCUAUCCAUCGUAAGGUGCUAGCGCUUCUGAAAGACUGUGUCUCGGUCUUCCGUCUUCUCAAACACCAUGUAGUGCGAGAAACCAAACGGAGGCGAUCGAGUCUUGUGGGGAAAAGUGCGCAAACCUCUGCAGAGUGUAACAAACUAAUCAUGAUUAGCCGUGUCCCCGGUUAUGGCCAACUUGAGUAUCUAGUACUUGAAUAUCAUGUGAAUCUCAUCACAUUACUUCUAAUUAAUGUUGUUGGGUUUUAAUUACUUAAUUGGGAUCGGAAUGCUGUCAACCAUUCUCGAUGUUUAACAACUACCAUGAUAGUUAAAUAAAUUUAUUCCUUUGCAGUAGGGAAAAACUGGCUUUACGCAAAACUGUAACCAUAGAGCUUUCCACCAGCCAUAUAUGCAUGUAGUAUAGCUGUUUCAUUCCAUUACUCUCUAUGUGUUACAUUGCCAGCAUAUCCCAUGUGCUGACCCGUUUUCGGGCUGCAACUUCUCAUGUUGCAGACUUUUCAGACGACGAGUAAGGUGCUUUUAGGUCAUGGUUCUAUACUCAGUGAUGUCGUUGGAGUUGAUGGACCCAUUUAUCUUCCGAGCCUUCUGCUGUUAUCGUUAUUAGAUGGCCUUAAGCCAUAUUUAUUGUAAUAAGUUCUCUUUGAGACAUCGAUGUAAUAAGUGUGUGAUUGCAACUCUGCUAUAAAUCCUUCGAAGUACUGUGUGGUGUCAGCAUUACUAAUCCAGGGAUGACACCGGAGCACAGUAGACUUGAUCCAUUCGGGUCGGGUCGCUACACACGAUGACCUAAGGACCACCAUAUUGCUGCUGGCAGUACUCAUGAUGUUUGAUCAUAACCAUGAGCUAAAGACUUGUACGUACAAAUAAUUUCCCAUACUUAGCUUCAUACUUACAUUAUGUUCCAGCAGUCAUAUGGGCAUAUGUCUGUCCUCAGUAUCCAUGAGCCUAUGUCUCCUCGCCGCCAGUGAGCUGCAAAAAAACAACAUUCAUACAUUUGAAUAACUUAAAGAUUUCCACUGGUAUUUGCAGAAGAUCAGAAAAUAGCGUACAAUUAAAUGAAACAAACUUCCUUACUCGAGUCGAACACUACCAGGGAGAUCAGCAAGAGUAUUUGCAAUCCCUGAUUCAGGGAUGACCUUAAGGCCAUGGAGGCAUGUACGGCCUCUCCACCUUACCUGGGCAUGUCGCAAUAGAUCAUUUAUCUCUAUCUAAUCAUAUCGAGAAUCCAAUCAUCUGUGUAUGCAUCUAUUUAUUCCAUAUCCAUAGAUGAAAUCCAAAUGUUAUGAUUUUAACCUCUAAGCGCGAUUUUAUAGGCUUAAAGUGUUCUCCACCAUAUAAACACCAUGAGCUAAGGAGUGCCAUAUUGCUGCUGGUUGUGCUCAUGAUGUUUGAUCAUAUCUGUGAACUAAAUACUUGUGCUUAUAAAUAAUUUCCCACACUUAAAUAGCUUCAUACUUACAUUAUGUUCUAGCAGUCAUAUGGGCAUCGUUCUAUCUCUAAGUAUCCAGGAGCCUAUGUCUCUUCGCCAACAAUGAGCUGCAGUAAAAGAACAUGUGUGACACUUGAAUAACUUAAAUAUUUCCACUGGUAUGAGUAGAUCAUAAGAAAAUAACGUACAAUUGAAUCAAACAAACUGCAUUACUCUAGUCGAACCGUACCAAGGAGAUCAUCAAGAGUAUGUGCAAUCUCUGAUUCAGGGAUGACCUUGAGGACAUGGAGGCAUGAUGGCCUCUGCACCUUGAUGGGCAGGUCGCAAUAGAUCAUUUUUCUCUCUAUAAUCAUACUGAGAAUCCGAUCAUCUGUGUAUGCAUCUCUUUAUUCCAUAUUCUCAUCAUCUAGUAUCUAACUAUGCAUCCAUAAAUCCUAUUAUCCAUUGAUUCUAUAUUUGUGUCAUCACCAAGCACCAUAGAGAUGAAGCGUUUGGGACAUCGAGAAGAGAUAAAACCUCAAAUUAAAGGGGAUGGAGCCUCGGCACCAUACUGGCUGGAGGCAGUACAAUUAGGGGUGCGUAAUCUAGUUGGGGAGGGCAUCCGGCCGCUGGCAAGUGGCAACGGCAUAAACAUAAAGUGGCCUGAUACCUGAUGGCAAGGGCGUUCACCGCUCAGCAAUGAUAAGCGUGGCGACACAACAAACCUGUCCUGGAGAAAGAUGCAAGAAGUGAGAUGCUAGGGUUAUCGAAACUGAAGAACCCAUGUACAACAAUGGUCAGCGAAUGCAACGACGAAGAAGCGGGGCCAUGUGCGGGAAAAAAGAAUGACAAUACCUGUAGGAUCUAGCGUUCAACAACUUAUGAAUGUUUUUUUCAAGGAAACAACUUGGGAUUGCUGGGAGAGGACGCUCAGAUUUCCUAUAUUUCUUAUUUCUCAAGGAAACAGUGAGAGUGCAAGGUGAAAACGAUUUUCUCAAGUCUUUUUCCCAAGAAAAACAACUUGGGAUGGUUAGCGGGGGAUGUUCAGAUCUCCUAUGCAUCUUGUUUCCCAAAUAGGCAGGAGAGUCCAAGGUUAGAAAGAUUUGAGUCAUGAGAGAUUGCUAGAGAGAGACGUGAGAGAGAGGUGGAUAUAAAUUGUUUUCUUUUUUGUUUUUCUAGGAGUCAUGAGAGUUUGCCAAAUAGAGACAUGAGAGAGAUGGAUACGUAAGAUUUGUUUUUUUUUUGUUUUUUUGGCGGUUGAGAUUGGUUUUAUGAUGGAAUUCAUGAGUCGAUCUACACCGUAAUAAUUCGGUCCCACCAGAUUAACGGCUCGUAAAAUCUAAUUUACGUGGGAAUUUUUUGGAAGUCUAGAAUUAGUAGAGGUAUAGAUAGAUAGAUAGAUAGAUAUAGAUAUAGAUAUAGAUAUAGAUAUAGAUAUAGAUAUAGAUAGAUAGAUAGAUAGAUAUAGAUAGAUGCUCUACAGGUGUCUCUGAAGGUGUUUGUUGAGUUGGCAUAGAUCGAGAUUAGGAUUUUUUAACUCUGUGUAUCGGAGAGUUAUCUCUGGGCCCUCUCGGUAAUGCACAUCACUAUAAGCCUUGCAAGCAAUCUGACUAAUGAGUUAGUUGCGGGAUGAUGCAUUACGGAACAAGAAAAGAGACUUGCCGGUAACAAGAUUGAACUAGGUAUGAUGAUACCGGCAAUUGAAUCUCGGACAAGUAACACACUGAUAACAAAGGAAAUAACGUAUGUUGUUAUGCGAUUUGACCGAUAAAGAUCUUCGUAGGAUAUGUAGGAGCCAAUAUGAGCAUCCAGGUUCUGCUAUUGGUUAUUGACCAGAGAUGUGUCUCGGUCAUGUCUUACACGUCUCCAACGUAUCUAUAAUUUUUGAUUGUUAUAUUAUCAAUCUUGGAUGUUUUAUAAUCAUUUUAUAUCAUUUUAUGGUACUAACCUAUUGACAUAGUUCCAAGUGCCAGUUGCUGUUUUUCCAUGUUUUUUACAUCACAUAAAAUCAAUAUCAGACGGAGUCCAAAUGCCCCGAAACUUUACGGAGAAUAUUUAUGGGCCAGAAGGAACACAGCGAGCCCUGGCUACGUCUAGGGGGUGCCCUGAGGGGGGCACAACCCACUAGGGCGCACCAGGAGGCCCAUGUGCGCCCUGGUGGGUUGUGCCCACCUCGGGUGCCCCCCGGACCGCCUCUUUGCUCUAUAAAUACCCCAAUAUUUCAGAAACCCUAGGGGAGUCGACUAAAAUCAAUUUCAGCCGCCGCAGAGUCCAGAACCACCAGAUCCAAUCUAGACACCAUCAUGGAUGGUGUUCACCACCUCCACUGGUGCCUCUCCGAUGAUGCGUGCGUACUUCUUUGUAGACCUUCGGGUCCAUAGUUAGUAUCUAGAUGGCUUCCUCUCUCUCAUUUGAUUCUCAGUACAAUGGUCUCUUGGAGAUCCAUAUGAUGUGACUCUUUUUGAGGUGUGUUUGUUGGGAUCAGGUGAACUUUGAUUUUAUGACCAGAUCUAUCUUUUUAUAUCCAUGAAAGUAUUUGAGUUUCUUUGAUCUUAUGCAUGAUUUCUUAUAGCCUCGUAUUUCUUCUCCUACAUUUGGGUUUUGUUUGGCCAACUUGAUCUAUUUAUCUUGCAAUGGGAAGAGGUGCUUUGUAGUGCGUUCGAUCUUAUGGUGCUUGAUCCCAAUGACAGAAGGGCAACCGACACGUAUGUAUCAUUGCUACUAAGGAUAAAACGAUGGGGUCUAUCUCUACAUAGAUAGAUCUUGUCUACAUCAUGUCAUCGUUCUUAUUGCAUUACUCUGUUUCUCCAUGAACUUAAUACACUAGAUGCAUGCUGGAUAGUGGUCGAUGUGUGGAGUAAUAGUAGUAGAUGCAGGCAGGAGUCGGUCUACUAAUCUUGGACGUGAUGCCUAUGUAAUGAUCAUUGCCUGGAUAUCGUCAUGAUUAUUUGAAGUUCUAUCAAUUGCCCAACAGUAAUUUGUUUACCCAUCAUUUGCUAUUUUUCUCGAGAGAAGCCACUAGUGAAACCUACGGCCCCCGGGUCUCUUUCUCAUAUUAUUUGCCUUCGCGAUCUAUUUUAUUUGCCUUUUAUUUCCAGAUCUAUUAAAUCUAAAAAUGCAAAAAUACCUUGCUGCAAUUUUAUUGGGCGUUCGGUCUAUCAAUAUUUACAACUUUCUCCCGUCCACGUACCAAUUUCUGUCACCGUUACCCGAAAGGGAUUGACAACCCCUUUAACACGUCGGGUUGCGAGUAUUUAUUAUUUGUGUGUAGGUGUUGUUUACGUUGUGUUGAUUUGUUCUCCUACUAGUUCGAAAACCUUGGUUUCAUAUCUGAGGGAAAUACUUACCGCCGAUGUGCUGCAUCAUCCCUUCCUUUUUGGGGAAAUACAAACGUAGUUUCAAGCGACAUCAAAAGGAAUUUCUGGCGCCGUUGCCGGGAGGAUCUUCAACAUAUAUUAGGUUCCUAAUCACAAAUCUCAUCUCCUCGCAAUUUACAUUAUUUUCCAUUUGCCUCUCAUUUUCCUCUCUCUCACUUCACAAAAAAUUGCCGUUUUAUUUUCCCCUUUUUUUCGUUCGCCAUUUUCCUGUCGGGUCUGCAAUCUUGUUUAUUGUUAUUAUCAUCAUGGAUAGUUCUUCCUCUAUUGCGUGCACUCGCGAGAAUGAGGUUCUCAACUUUAAACAAGGGGGGGGGGGAUUUAAAAGAUGCUUGGUAUAGACUUUGCAAUGCUCAUAAUAGAUCUAUCCAUAAGCAAUCUACCGUUGUUCUUCUUCGUUGCUUUUAUGUGGGCAACACCACUUGGUAUAGAUCCGUCCUUGAUACGAUUACCGGUGGAAAUUUGUUGAUGUGUCCCUCUCUUGAUGCUUUUAAUGCUAUGGGAAAUUUAGUAGGCUGGCCACCUCUUAUGAUUAAGGAAACAACUUUAACUCUUGAGCAUGUCAUGGAAAGAUUAGAUGCUAUUGAAAAGAAAAUGCUUACUGAAGAGCAUAUUGAAAAUUUGGAUUAAAAUAUGCGUAAUUUUUCUACUAAAAUUGGGUCAAAAGCGGGGGAAGUUUUUAAGUUAUGAAACAAAAAGGGAACUAUAAUCCAUGAAAGAAUUGAAGAAAGCCCGUCUCGGAUUGAUAAAUCGGAAGAAAUCUUUAGUAAUUUGAGUACAGCUUUUGCUUCCGCUAAAAUUGUUGAGAAAACUCCCGUAAAAAUUGGCAAGACUGCCAAAGCUACCAAAAGCAAGGGUGCAACUUCUAGUAAAGAGGAUCUUAAGAUGAUUAGUAUCCACCCGAUUUUUCUUGAAGUCAUAAGAGAUCCCCUUGGCAAGAAUGAAUUAUUUAAAUUUGUUCCUAUGAGUAUUGUCAUUGAAAAUCUCUAUGCUAAAUCUCUAAGAGAUCAUAAGUGUUUGAUUGAAGAGUUAAACAAAGAUGAGAAAACUUAGAUCCUUGCUUUAUGCCUAGCUAAGGGCAUAAAACUAUAGCGCUUGUUGGGAGGCAACCCAAUGAAUAAAAUUUAUUUUUUCUUUUUGCUUUAUGUUCUUGAGUGUUAGAACAAUUAUACUACUAUUAUGAUUGUGUUUUUUAUGUUUUAAUUAGUGUGUGUGCCAAGUAAAGCCGUUAGGAUCUUCUUGGGUGAUAGUUGUUUGAUCUUGCAGAAAAAACAAAAACUUUUGCGCUCACGAAAAUAAUUUUCAUUUUUAACCAUAGAGAGAUAAAAUACUCAUUCCUUUUGAAGUAGAUUAAUAUACAAAUUGCUCAAGUCGUCCCAAUUGUUCAGAAUUUUUGGAGUUACAGAAGUAUUUUUGGAGCCAGAUUGCUACAAACUGUUCUGUUUUGACAGAUUCUAUUUUCUUUGCGUUGUCUGCUUGUUUGUUUUGAUGGCUCUAUGGUUUUAUUUGAUGAGUUUUUGCCAUAUAAAAGUUGGAAUACAGUAUAUAUAAUGGAAAAACAAAAUAUGAAUUGGUUUGAUACAGUACUUACAUGUAACGCCCCGAGUCCGAUGUGCUAGGUGUCUUCCAGUUAUUCGUUGUUGUUGCCUUGUCAUUGCUUGCGUAUCAUGCAUCUCAUAUCAUGUCAUCAUGUGCAUUUCAUUUGCAUACGUGUUCGUCUCAUGCAUCCGAGCAUUUUCCCCGUUGUCCGUUUUGCAAUCCGGCGCUCCUAUGUCAUCUGAUGUCCCUUCCUACCUCUUUUUUGUGUGCGGGUGUUAAACGUUUUCGGAUUCGACCGAGACUUGUCAUGCGGCCUUGGUUUACUACCUGUAGACCGCCUGUCAAGUUUCGUGCCAUUUGGACUUUGUUUGAUACUCCAACGGUUAACCGAGGGACCGAAAAGGCCUCUUGUGUGUUGCAGCCCAACACCCCUCCAAAGUGGCCCAAAACCCACCUAAAUCUACUCCAUCAUCUAGGCCAUUCAAUCAUGAUCGCGUGGCCGCAAACCGCACCUCAUUUGGACUCUCCUAGCUCCCUCUACCUAUAAAUAUGUGGCUCUCCUCGAAAAUCCACGCAGAUCAAACCCUAACUUCGUCCUGCUUGCGCCGCCGGACGAAAUCCCCACCGCGCCCGGACAUGUCCAGCCGCCGCCCCGGCAAAUCCCGCGCUUCCACCUCACCCCGCCGGCCUUCUCUCUCCUCCGCGGCCCGCCCAGGCCCGGGGCAAGCUCGGCGAAGCCCAUCGGGGCCCGAGGCCGCACCUGCGAGAGCCCGCGUCGCCGGUCUGCGCGCCGCCGCCGCGCCCUUUGCCGGAUGCCGCCGGAGCCCCCGCCGACUCGCCGGCGUUCGUCAUUGCGCCGCGCGCCACCCGAGGCACCUCGUCGCCACCCCGGAUCCACCGCCGCUCCGCCGCAGGAGCUCCACCGCCACCACCGUGCCUCCCCGUGCCCGGUUCGGAUCCGGCUCGGGCUCUACGCCCCUCGACUCCGGCAGACCGGAUCGGCCGGCGAGCGCGCCCGCCCCACUUGCCAGGGCCUCCCACCGACCUCCUCCGCCGGAUCCCGCACCCCUGCACCUCCCCGGGUGUCUUCUUCUCUGUCUCCGGCCCAACUCCGGUGAGGGAUCCGACCAACCUCGAGAUCCGUGCCAAGAACCCUAGAUCUGGAUGGGUAAAAUAUCUCUAAGUCCUUUUCCCCCCAGUAUUUUUUUGGCAUUUUCAUCGCAUCAUAACUUCAUCACCGUGGCUCUGAUUCAUGCGUGUAGCAUAUCAAAAUGUUCGUCUCGAUGAGUACAUCAUUUCAUCUCAUUGCAUCAUUUUCAUUUAAGCUCAUAUUGAUGCCCGAAAUGCUGUUGGAAGAGGGCUAUGUGAUGAUAGUUUCAUAUCUGUUUCAGCAAAUGCACUUUUGUUAGUUUUGCCAUGAUUAAUGUGUGCAUGCUAUGAUCCUGAGCUCCACAUGUGUUUUGUAGAAUGUCAUGCCAUAUUUAUAGGGGUGUAUGCCAUGUAUUUUUGUGAUCUUCGUGGUGACUAGCACAAGCAUGCAAAGUAGCUUACUCAAUGUUGCUGAAUUCAGGGACUUAGAAUUUCACUAAGUCCUUGCCCUGUCAUUAUUUUUAUGCCAUAUGUUCAUGUUGUUUCCUAGUGAUCCGUGCCUCUUUUGAGCAUGACCACUAAGGAUGUUUUGUAGAGUUUGUUGUGCUCUAUCCAUCCAUGUCUUUGUUUGCAAUUUUGGAGCACCCUAGCUUGAGUUAAUCGAGCUCUACUUUUGCUAUAAAUUGUUCCUGGCAGAUUGUUAACAUGUUUAGCAAUUUUGCCGAGCAUAUUGUUGUUGAUCCGUGCAUGCUAUGUUGUUGUUCUUGCCAUGUCUAGCUUCUAUGCCAUGUCUACUUGCAGGUUGUAUGCUUAGUUUGUCAUGCAAUGCCUCGUAGUGAGUGUGUCAAGCUCGUAAACAUGCCUACUUGAUGUCUGUUUUGCAUGCUCCAGUUUUUCACUAAGUCUGAAUCUGUUUUCGAUAAUUGCUAUGUUCACAUGCUUGCAAUUGUAUUUUCUAAUCCCUUUUGGCUCAUGGUCACUAAGGGACUUUUGUUGUAUGCUUUGAGUAGCUUCAUGCCAUGCUUUGAUUUGCCAUGAUAUGUUCCUGUAGCAUAUAGUUAUUGUGCUCUACACAUUGCUUCCUGAUGAUAAAUUCCUGACAUGCUGUUAAUUUCACUAAGUCCGAAACCUGUUAUCUUUUGCACUUUUGCCAUGCUUGUUUGAGCUUGCUAUUAAGUGAAUUAGCCGUAGCUAAGUGUUCAUAUUUUGUCAAGCAUCAUGAGUGGAUCCCUGCCAUGUAUUUUGUUGUCAUGUUGGAGUGCUGUAGCAUGUUGUUUUUGAUGCAUUUAGAUGGUCUCUUGCUGUUAAUCGCAGACCGGUGCCAUAUUUGUUUUGCUUGCCAUUUCCAAACCGUGCAUCCGAUUUCGGUGAUCUUUAUAUCGGUUUCGACCGAAAUCGACUCCUCUUUCCAGUGGAAUUCUUGGUUUUACAAGUUGAGUCCAGGUUCAAUCAUUCCUUUCCAAAUCAUGCAUAUGCACCGCAUACCGCAUCCCGCAUAUCAUGUCAUGUUCAUGUGUUGGUUGUUUACUAUGUUGUGUGCUUCUUUCCGGUGUUGCUUCUUCGGGUUGGUUCUGAUAACGUCGCGUUUGUGAGGACCCGUUUGAAUACGUCCGUUCGUCUUCUUCAUGGACUCGCUCUUCUUCCUUGCGGGAUUUCAGGCAAGAUGACCAUACCCUCGAAAUCACUUCUAUCUUUUCUUGCUAGUUGCUCGCUCUAUUGCUAUGCCUAUGCUACGAUACCUACCAGUUGCUUAUCAUGCCUCCCAUAUUGCCAUGUCAAGCCUCUAACCACCUUGUCCUAGCAAACUGUUGUUUGGCUAUGUUACCGCUUUGCUCAGCCCCUCUUAUAGUGUUGCUAGUUGCAGGUGAAUAUUGGAGUUUGUUCCUUGUUGGAACAUGAUUUUUGUUGGGAUAUCACAAUAUCUCUUAUCUAUAUUAAUGCAUCUAUAUACUUGGUAAAGGGUGGAAGGCUCGGCCUUAUGCCUAGUGUUUUGUUCCACUCUUGCCUCCCUAGUUUCCGUCAUAUCGGUGUUAUGUUCCCGGAUUUUGUGUUCCUUACACGGUUGGGUUAUAAUGGGAACCCCUUGACAGUUCGCCUUGAAUCAAACUCCUCCAGCAAUGCCCAACAUUGGUUUUACCAUUCGCCACCUAGCCUCUUUUUCCCUUGGGUUCCGCGAACUCAAGGGUCAUCUUUAUUUAAACCCCCCCUGGGCCAGUGCUCCUCUGAGUGUUGGUCCGACCGAGUAGACUGUGGGGCCACCUCUGGGCAACUUGAGGGUUGGUUUUACUCGUAGUAUGUCUCAUCUGAGUGUGCCCUGAGAACGAGAUAUGUGCAGCUCCUAUCGGGAUUUGUCGGCACAUUCGGGCGGUGUUAUUGGACUUGUUUUACCAUUGUCGAGGAUGUCUUGUAACCGGGAUGCCGAGUCUGAUCGGAUUGUCUUGGGAGAAGGAAUAUCCUUCGUUGACCAUGAGAGCUUGUGAUGGGCUAAGUUGGGACACCCCUGUAGGGUUUUGAACUUUCGAAAGUCGUGCCCGUGGUUAUGGGCAGAUGGGAAUUUGUUAAUGUCCGGUUGUAGAAAACCUGAAACUUAUCUUAAUUAAAACGCAUCAACCGCGUGUGUAACCGUGAUGGCCACUUCUCGGCGGGGUCCGGGAAGUGAACACGGUGUUGGAGUAAUGCUUGACGUAGGUUGUUCUAGGAUCACUUCUUGAUCAUAGUUGUUCGACCGUGCUUUUGCCUUCUCUUCUCGCUCUCAUUUGCGUAUGUUAGCCACCAUAUAUGCUAGUCGCUUGCUGUAGCUCCACAUCAUACCUUUGCCUUUCCCAUAAGCUUAAAUAGUCUUGAUCGCAAGGGUGUGAGAUUGUUGAGUCCCCGUGACUCACAAAUACUUCCAAAACCAGUUUCAGGUGCCGAUGUUACCGAGCAGGUGACGCAACCAAGCUCAAGGAGGAGCUCGAUGAAGAUCUUGUCCUUUGUGUUGUUUUGUUCUAGUUGAUCAGUAGUAGAGCCCAGUUGGGGUCGAUCGGGGAUCUGUGUAGCAUUUGGGGUAGUCUUCUUUUAUUUUGGGUUCCAUAGCCGGACCUUGAUUGUAUCUGGAUGAUGUAAUGCUUUAUUCAUGUAAUUGUGUGAAGUGGCGAUUGUAAGCCAACUAUGUAUCUGUUUCCCCUUAUUGUAUUACAUGGGUUGUUGUGAAGAUUACCUCACUUGAGGCAUUGCUUUCAAUGCGGUUAUGCCUCUAAGUCGUGCUUCGACACGUGGGAGAUAUAGCUGCAUCGAGGGCGUUACAUUACAGUAGUGAUUCGCUUUCUUUUACUAACGGAUCUCACGAAGGUUUUGUUGAGUUUUGUGUGAUUGAAGUUUUCAAGUUUUGAGUUAUCUUACGAUGGAUGAUGGAAUAAGGAGUAAGAAGAGCCUAUUCCAAAAGAGAGCAAGCAACUAAGCUCGGGGCAUCCCCUCUUUCUUCUAACGACCAUCGUUAUUUUACUCGAAGCUAUAUUUUUAUUCAUCACAUACUAUGAGUUUUGCUUGGAGCGUCUUGUAUGAUAUGAGUCUUUGCUUGUUUUAUUUUAUGUUUUAAGUCUUGAUUCCUUGCUGGACACACCUAUUUGAGAGAGCCAAAAUUAUGCCAUGACUUGUUAGAAUUGCUCUCUAUGCUUCACUUAAAUUUUUUAUGAGCUAUGGACUUGCUCUAGUGCUUCACUUAUAUCUUUUUUAGCACAACGUGCUUUAGUAUUUUUUAAGAAAUGAUCUCUUGCUUCACUUAGAUUUAUUUGAGAGUUAGUAAAAUUUUCAAGAAAUUCUCUCUUGCUUCACUUAAAUUAAUUUGAGAGAAAGAAAUUUUAUGCUCAUGAUCUUCACUUAUAUUUGUUUAAGCUUAUCAAAAGCAACAUAUGAAAAUUAGUUCCAAAGUGAUAGAUAUCCAAAAAGGAUAUAAUAAAAACUUUCAUGAAGAUCAUUGGACAAAAUAAACUUGAUUCUUAGUAAUAGUUUUGAGAUAUGAUGAUGUGAUAUGUGAGUCAUGUUGAUGAGUAAUUAUGCUUUAGUAAGAAUAUUGGUGUUAAGGUUUGUGAUUCCCUAUGCAAGCACGAAAGUCAAUAAUUAUGCAAUGAAAUUAUAUCCUACUUGUGGUGCAUUAUUCGGUGUUAAUUAUGCUUACUGCUUGCUUAUGAUAUUAUUCGUUUCUUGGUUGGUCGCUUCUCAAUCUUUUGCUAGCCUUCAUUUUGCACUAAGUAUGAUCGCUACUUGUGCAUCCAAAAACCUUUAAACCAGCUUUGCCAUAUGAGUCCACUAUAUCAACCUAUAUGCGGUAUUCUUUUUCCAUUCUAAGCAAAUUUGUAUGUGCCAUCUCUAAUUUUCAAAAUAAACUUCUCUUUUGUGUGUUCAUUUCGCUCACGGAGCGGUGAGGGGUGGCUAAUAUUUUCCAUGCUAGAUGUGAUAUUCUCACGAUGAGUGUUUAUUCACUUGUCAUUGCACAGGAGUAAGGCAAAGGUAUUAGGGAUGCCUAGUCCCGAAAUGAAAAAUGAAUUUACUUUAUGUUGUCAAAUAAUAAAUUCCUUGGAAAGUGUUGGUAUGGAGGGCAACCAUGGAUACGGCUAGCCAUGGAAAGUGAAAGUAUGGUGGAAAAAGGAAUAAAAUUUUUUUCUGUUUGGGAAACGCAGAUGAUAUCUAGCAUGGAAAGUGUUGGGAACUCUAAGUCAUUUUCGUUGGUGGGAAGGACACACUGAUACGUCUCCAACGUAUCUACUUUUCCAAACAAUUUGCCCUUGUUUUCGACUCUAACUUGCAUGAUUUGAAUGGAACUAACCUGGAGUGAUGCUGUUUUCAGUAGAAUUGCCAUGGUGUUAUUUUUGUGUAGAAAUAAAAGUUCUCGGAAUGACCUGAAAAUCAAAGGAGAUUAUUUUUGGAAUAUAUAAAAAAUACUGACGAAGGAAUCAAGGCCAGGGGGCCCACAUCCUGUCCACGAGGGUGGGGGGUGCGCCUACCCCCACUGGGCGCACCCCUCUGCCUCGUGGGCCCCCUGGUGCUCCACCGACCUCAACUCUAACUCCAUAUAUUCACGUUCGAGGAGAAAAAAAUUAGAGAGAAGGAUUCAUCGCGUUUUACAAUACGGAGCCGCUAUCAAGCCCUAAUCUCUCUCGGGAGGGCUGAUCUGGAGUCCGUUCGGGGCUCUGGAGAGGGGAAUCCAUGGCCAUCGUCAUCAUCAACCUUCCUCCAUCACCAAUUUCAUGAUGCUCACUGCCUGCGUGAGUAAUUCUAUCAUAGGCUUGCUGGACGGUGAUGGGUUCGGUGAGAUUUAUCAUGUAAUUGAGUUAGUUUUGUUAGGGUUUGAUCCCUAGUAUCCACUAUGUUCUGAGAUUGAUGUUGCUAUGACUUUGCUAUGCUUAAUGCUUGUCACUAGGGCCUGAGUGCCAUGAUUUCAGAUCUGAACCUAUUAUGUUUUCAUGAAUAUAUGUGAGUUCUUGAUCCUAUCUUGCAAGUCUAUAGUCACAUAUUAUGUGUUAUGAUCCAUUAACCCCGAAGUGACAAUAAUCGGGAUACUUACCGGUGAUGACCGUAGUUUGACGAGUUCAUGUAUUCACUAAGUGUUAAUGCUUUGGUCGAGUACUCUAUUAAAAGGAGGCCUUAAUAUCCCUUAGUUUCCAAUAGGACCCUGCUGCCAUGGGAGGGUAGGACAAAAGAUGUCAUGCAAGUUCUUUUCCAUAAGCACGUAUGACUAUAUUCAGAAUACACGCCUACAUUACAUUGAUGAACUGGAGCUAGUUCUGUGUCACCCUAUGUUAUAACUAUUACAUGAGGAAUCACAAUCGACAUAAUUAUCCAUCACUGAUUCGUUGCCUACAAGCUUUUCACAUAUUGUUCUUUGCUUAGUUACUUUUCCGUUGCCACUGUUACAAUCACUACAAACCCAAUACUGUUACUUUUGCUACUGUUACCGCUACUAUCAUAUUACUUUGCUACAAAUACUUUGCUGUAGAUAUUAAGUUUCCAGGUGUGGUUGAAUUGACAACUCAGCUGCUAAUACUUGAGAAUAUUCUUUGGCUCCCCUUGUGUCGAAUCAAUAAAUUUGGGUUGAAUACUCUACCCUCGAAAACUGUUGCGAUCCCCUAUACUUGUGGGUUAUCAAGACUAUUUUCUAGCGCCGUUGCCGGGGAGCAUAGCUCUAUUCUUUGAGUCACUUGGGAUUUAUAUCUGCUGGUCACUAUGAAGAACUUGAAAGAUGAAAGAACCAAGAUUUUUCCCUCAACUACGAGGGGAGGUAAGGAACUGCCAUCUAGCUUUGCACUUGAUUCACCUUUUGUUUUGAGUAAACUUGCGACACCUACUCCUGCUAUUCAUUCUAAUAUGUCGCAUGUUAUUGAUGAUGCCACUUCUGCUUUGCAUGAUACUUAUGAUGAAACUACUUCUAUGCUUGAUAAUACUGUGCCACUAGGUGAAUUUCUUGAUGAACAACUUGCUAGGGUUAGAGAGAAUGAAAUUAUUGAAACUGAUAAUAUUGAUGAAAGUGAUGAUGAAGAUUCUCCCCCUAUAUAUGAAUUGCCUGUUGUGCCUGAGGGUUAUGUUAUGGAUGAAGAAACUGCUAUAGACUUUUUAGCUUGCAAUGAUAGAUCUGAUCUUAAGAAAUUAUUUGCUAAGCUUAAACAAAAGUCCUUGAAUGCUAGAAUGAAAUAUGACCCUGCUUUUGCUACUUCACCUAUCUUUAUUUCCGAUAAGGAUUAUGAUUUCUCUGUCGACCCUGAGUUAAUUACUUUGGUUGAAUCUGAUCCUUUUUAUGGCUAUGAAUCUAAAAUUGUUGUGGCACAUCUUACUAAAUGAAAUGAUAUAGACACCCUGUUCACUAAUGAUGAGAAAACUCGCUAUUACUUUAUUCUUAAGUUAUUUCUAUUCUCAUUAAAGGGUGAUGCUAAAACAUGGUUUAAUUCUCUUGAUUCUGGCUGUGUGCGUAGUCCCCAGGAUAUGAUUUAUUACUUCUCUGCUAAAUAUUUCCCUGCUCAUAAGAAACAUGCUGGCUUAAGGGAAAUAUAUAAUUUUGUGCAAAUUGAAGAAGAGAGUCUCUCACAAGCUUGGGGGAGGCUUCUCCAAUUACUUAAUGCUUUGCCUGAUCAUCCUCUCAAGAAAAAUGAAAUACUUGAUAUCUUUUAUAAUGGACUAACUGAUGCUUCUAGAGACCACCUGGAUAAUUGUGCUGGUCGUGUUAUCAGGGAAAGAACUAUUGAUCAAGCUGAAUUGCUAUUGAAUAAUAUGUUGGGUAAUGAAAAUGAUUGGAUACUUCCUGAACCAACUCCUAAGCCAACUCCGAAAUAAAGGGGUAUUCUAUUUCUUAGUCCUGAAGAUAUGCAAGAGGCAAAGAAAUCUAUGAAAGAAAAAGGUAUUAAAGCUGAAGAUGUUACGAAUUUACCACCUAUUGAAGAAAUGCAUGGUCCUGAUAACCCAACACAGGUAGUAAAGGUAAAUUCUCUCUAUAUAUUUGAUGAAGGUGAUAUUCCUCGUUAUAAGUCUGCUAGCCAAUGCUUACAUGAGUUUGAUAAUGUUAUUGUUAAACAAGAAGACUUGAAUGCUUAUGUUGGUAGACAAUUGAAACGUAAUGCUUAUAUGAUUGAACACUUGAGUGAUUAUAUGUCUGGAGUUAAAGGUGAACUCAAACUUAUUAGUAAACAUGCUUCUAUGGUUACCACUCAAGUAGAACAAGUACUUAAGGCUCAGAAUGAUUUGCUCAAUGAAUUAAAUAAUAAGAAAAAUGAUAAUGUUGUUAGAGUUAUGACUAGAGGAGGUAAAAUGACUCAGGAACCUUUGUAUCCCGAGGGCCACCCUAAGAGAAUUGAGCAAGAUUCUCAGAGAACUAAUAUUGAUGCACCUAGUUCUUCUAAGAGGAACAAACAGAAAAAUGAUAGGACUUUGCAUGCUUCUAGUGAACCUGUUGUUGACACACCUGAGAAUCCCAAUGAUAUUUCUAUUUCUGAUGCUGAAACACAAUCUGGUAAUGAACAUGAACCUUCUGAUAAUGUUAAUGAUGAUGUUCAUGUUGAUGCUCAACCUAGCAAUGAUAAUGAUGUAGAGAUUGAACCUGUUGUUGAUCUUGAUAACCCACAAUCAAAGAAUCAACAUUAUGAUAAGAGAUACUUUGUUGCUAGGAAGCACAGUAAAGAAAGAGAACCAUGGGUUCAGAAACCCAUGCCUUUUCCUCCUAAACCAUCCAAGAAAAAGGAUGGUGAGGAUUUUGAGCGCUUUGUUGAAAUGAUUAGACCUAUAUUUUUGCAUAUGCGUUUGACUGAUAUGCUUAAAAUGAACCCUUAUGCUAAGUACAUGAAGGGUAUUGUUACUAAUAAAGAAAGAUACUGAAAGCUAAAAUUUCCACCAUGCUUGCUAAUUAUACUUUUAAGGGUGGAAUACCAAAGAAACUUGGAGAUCCACGAUUACCAACUAUACCAUGCUCCAUUAAAAGAAACUAUGUUAAAACUGCUUUAUGUGAUCUUGGAGCCGGUGUUAGAGUUAUGCCUCUCUCUUUAUAUCAUAGACUUGAUUUGAAUAAGUGGACACCUACUGAAAUAUCUUUGCAAAUGGCUGAUAAAUUAACUGCUAUACAUGUCGGUAUUUGUGAGGAUGUGCCUGUUGUAGUUGCAAAUGUUACUAUUUUAACGGACUUUGUUAUUCUUGAUAUUCUCGAGGACGAUAGUAUGUCUAUUAUUCUUUGUAGACCCUUUCUGAAUACUGCAGGGGCUGUUAUUGAUUGCAAGAAAGGCAAUGCCACUUUUCAUGUUAAUGGUAAUGAGCAUAUGGUACACUUUCUGAGGAAACAACCUCAAGUCCACAGUAUCAAUUCUAUUGGAAAAUUUCAACAAUUACUAUUGGAGGUUUUGAAUUUCGUCUUCCUACUGUCAAGAAGAAAUAUGAUAUUCUUAUUGUUGGGGAUGUGCAUAUCCCAGUUGAGGUAACCUAGUGUUAUUUGAAAUUUAUCUGGUUUCAUGCAAUUCGGAAUGAGUUUGUUAACAAGACUUGAUCAACCUUGUUAGUGGAUUCCUUUUCAUGAGCAUGAGAUGGAUGAAGUUAGAAAGCACAACUCUCUGUAUCCUCUUUUUACUUUCUGUUAUUUAUAUUAAAUAAAGUAAAAAUAGUAUUUUCUGUCUACUUUCUGAAUUAUCCUUGCAAUAAAAAAUACCCCGAAAAUAGAAGUUCUCCAAAUGCCCUGAAAAUUUAAUAUGAUUUUUUCCAGAAUAUUUAAGAAUUAUUGGCACUGAGAACACACCAGGGGGACCCACCAUGUGCCCACGAAGGUGGAGGGCGCGCCCCCUGCCUCAUGGACCCAACGUGGGUCCCCUCCACUUAUUCUUGCACCCACACACUUCGUCUUCCUCCAGAGAAAAUCAUCCACCAGCUCAAACCCACGUUCUAGCUCAUCUUGUUGCCACUUUCGAUCUCCUUGCUCAAAGCUCCAUUCACAAAACUGCUUUGGGGGAUUGUCCUUUGGUUUGUGACUCCUCCAAUGGUCCAAUUAGUUUUUGUUCUAGUGCUUUAUUUAUUGCAAAUUUUUGCUGCUUAGGUGACCCUAUUCUUGAGCUUGCAUGUCAAAUUUAUGUGGUCCAACGUAGUUUUAAUGCAUGAUAUAGCCUCUAGGCACUUGUAGGAGUAGUUGCUAUCAAUUUUGUUGAGUUUGGUUCACUUUUAUUUUGAGUUACUGAAAAUUUCAGAAAUUUUUUAGAGGAAGAAAUAUGUUUAGGAAAAUGUACCAAGGUGGUUCCUCAAAGAAGUAAGGACCCAGGCCCGCGAUACGUGGGCCGGACUAUGAACUACCAAGAAAAGAUCAAGUGCGGCCUUGUGAAUGGCCGUCAGAAGAUUUUAUGGUCCAAGCAAGAAUUAAGGAGGAAUUUGACGCGUAUGUGCGUAAUGAUGAACUUGAGGGCUUCGUGUUAGAUAAGUGCCCCCAAUAUUAUCACCUAACUGAUUCCUUUGUGAGAAGGUUUAAAUUUACAUCAUCACACAAUUCUCACACUGUCCUAUUUGAUCCCUAUAAUAAGUCUUAUACCAUGGACUUAGAAGAUUUUAAUACUGCUUGUAAACUCCCGCAGUGGGGUAGUGUUAGUGAACCUCGCAAAUCUGAAUUUAAAGAAUUUCUUGCUAGUAUCACUUGUUGGAAAUAUGCCCUAGAGGCAAUAAUAAAAGCAUUAUUAUUAUAUUUCCUUGUUCAUGAUAAUUGUCUUUAUUCAUGCUAUAAUUGUGUUAUCCGGAAAUUGUAAUACAUGUGUGAAUAAUAGACACCAACAUGUCCCUAGUAAGCCUCUAGUUGACUAGCUCGUUGAUCAACAGAUAGUCAUGGUUUCCUGACUAUGGACAUUGGAUAUCAUUGAUAACGAGAUCACAUCAUUAGGAGAAUGAUGUGAUGGACAAGACCCAAUCCUAAACAUAGCACAAGAUCGUAUAGUUCGUUUGCUAGAGUUUUCCAAUGUCAAUUAUCUUUUCCUUAGACCAUGAGAUCGUGUAACUCCUGGAUACCGUAGGAGUGCUUUGGGUGUACCAAACGUCACAACGUAACUGGGUGACUAUAAAGGUAUACUACGGGUAUCUCCGAAAGUGUCUGUUGGGUUGACACGGAUCAAGACUGGGAUUUGUCACUCCGUAUGACGGAGAGGUAUCACUGGGCCCACUCGGUAAUGCAUCAUCAUAAUGAGCUCAAAGUGACCAAGUGUCUGGUCACGGGAUCAUGCAUUACGGUACGAGUAAAGUGACUUGCCGGUAACGAGAUUGAACGAGGUAUUGGGAUACCAACGAUCGAAUCUCGGGCAAGUAACAUACCGAUUGACAAAGGGAAUUGUAUACGGGGUUGCUUGAAUCCUCGACAUCGUGGUUCAUCCGAUGAGAUCAUCGAGGAGCAUGUGGGAGCCAACAUGGGUAUCCAGAUCCCGCUGUUGGUUAUUGACCGGAGAGUCGUCUCGGUCAUGUCUGCAUGUGUCCCGAACCCGUAGGGUCUACACACUUAAGGUUCGGUGACGCUAGGGUUGUAGGGAUAUGUAUAUGCAGUAACCCGAAUGUUGUUCGGAGUCCUGGAUGAGAUCCCGGACGUCACGAGGAGUUCCGGAAUGGUCCAGAGGUAAAGAAUUAUAUAUAGGAAGUGCUAUUUCGGCCAUCGGGACAAGUUUCGGGGUUAUCGGUAUUGUACCGGGACCACCGGAAGGGUCCCGGGGGUCCACCGGGUGGGUCCACCUGCCCCUGGAGGCCACAUGGGAUGUAGGGGGUGCGCCUUGGCCUACAUGGGCCAAGGGCACUAGCCCCAAGAGGCCCAUGCGCCUAGGGUUCACAAAAGGGAAGAGUCCCACUAGUGGAAGGCACCACCUAGGUGCCUUGGGGGGAGGGAAAGCUCCCUUGGCCGCCGCCCCCCUAGGAGAUUGGAUCUCCUAGGGCCGGCGCCCCCCCCCCUUGGCCCUCCUAUAUAUAGUGGGGGAAGGAGGGCUUUUCAUCCACGCCUUUGGUUGCCUCCUUCUCCCUCUCCAACACCUCCUCCUCCUCCAUAGUGCUUGGCGAAGCCCUGACGGAGUACUGCAGCUCCAUCACCACCACGCCGUCGUGCUGCUGCUGGAGCCAUCUUCCUCAACCUCUCUUUCCCUCUUGCUGGAUCAAGAAGAAGGAGACGUUACGCUGACCGUACGUGUGUUGAACGCGAAGGUGCCGUCCGUUCGGUGCUAGGAUCUCCGGUGAUUUGGAUCACGUCGUGUUCGACUACCUCAUCCUCGUUCUUUGAACGCUUCCGCUCACGAUCUACAAAGGUAUGUAGAUGCAUCCGACCACUCGUUGCUAGAUGAACUCAUAGAUGGAUCUUGGUGAAACCGUUGGAAAAUUUUUGUUUUCUACAACGUUCCCCAUCAGUGGCAUCAUGAGCUAGGUCUAUGCGUAGUUCUUCUUGCGCGAGUAGAACACAAUUUGUUGUGGGCGUAGAUGUUGUCAACUUUCUUGCCAUUACUAGUCUUAUCUUGCUUCAACGGUAUUGUGGGAUGAAGCGGCCCGGACCAACCUUACACAUACUCUUACGUGCGACCGGUUCCACCGACUAACAUGCACUAGUCGCAUAAGGUGGCUGGCGGGUGUCUAUCUCUCCCACUUUAGUUGGAGCGGAUUCUAUGAAAAGGGUCCUUAUGAAGGGUAAAUAGAAGUUGACAAAUCACGUUGUGGCUUUCACGUAGGUAAGAAAACGUUCUUGCUAGAACCCUACUUCAGCCACGUAAAACUUGCAACAACAAUUAGAGGACGUCUAACUUGUUUUUGCAGCAAGUGCUUUGUGAUAUGAUAUGGCCAAGGUUGUGAUGAAUGAUGAAUGAUCUAUAUGUGAUGUAUGAGAUGUUCAUGCUAUUGUAAUAGGAAUCACGACUUGCAUGUCGAUGAGUAUGACAACUGGCAGGAGCCAUAGGAGUUGUCUUUAAUUUUUUUAUGACCUGCGUGUCAUUGAGAAACGCCAUGUAAAUUACUUUACUUUAUUGCUAAACGCGUUAGCCAUAGUAGUAGAAGUAAUAGUUGGCGAGCAACUUCAUGGAGACACAAUGAUGGAGAUCAUGAUGAUGGAGAUCAUGAUGAUGGAGAUCAUGGUGUCAUGCCGGUGACAAGAUGAUCAUGGAGCCCCAAGAUGGAGAUCAAAGGAGUUAUGUCACUAUUAUUAUUUGAUUGCAUGUGAUGUCUAUCAUGUUUUUGCAUCUUGUUUACUUAGAACGAUGGUAGUAAAUAAGAUGAUCCCUCAUAAUAAUUUCAAGAAAGUGUUCCCCCUAACUGUGCACCAUUGCGACAGUUCAUUGUUUCAAUGCACCACGUGAUGAUCGGGUGUUUGAUUCAAAUGUUCACAUACAACGGGUGUAAGACAGAUUUACACAAACAAACACUUAGGUUGACUUGACGAGACUAGCAUGUGUAUAGACAUGGCCUCGGAACACAGAAGACCGAAAGGUCGAGCAUGAGUCGUAUAGAAGAUACGAUCAACAUGAAGAUGUUCACCAACGUUGACUAGUCCGUCUCACGUGAUGAUCGGACACGGCCUAGUCGACUCGGAUCAUGUUAUACUUAGAUGACUAGCAGAGGGAUGUCUAUCUAAGUGGGAGUUCAUUGAAUAAUUUGAUUAGAUGAACUUCAUUAUCAUGAACUUAGUCUAAAAAAUCUUUGCAAUAUGUCUUGUAGAUCAAAUGGCCAACGUAGUCCUCAACUUCAACGCGUUCCUAGAGAAAACCAAGAUGAAAGACGAUGGCAGCAGCUAUAUGGACUGGGUCCGGAACCUGAGGAUCAUCCUCAUAGCUGCCAAGAAAGAAUAUGUCCUACAAGCACCGCUAGGUGACGCACCCGUCCCACAGAACCAAGACAUUAUGAACGCUUGGCAGACACGUGCCGAUGACUACUCCCUCGUUCAGUGUGGCAUGCUUUACACCCUAGAGCCGGGGCUCCAAAAGCGUUUUGAGAGACAUGGAGCAUAUGAGAUGUUCGAAGAGCUGAAAAUGGUUUUCCAAGCUCAUGGCUGGGUCGAGAGAUAUGAAGUCUCCGACAAAUUCUUCAGCUGUAAGAUGGAGGAAAAUAGUUCUGUCAGUGAGCACAUACUCACUAUGUCUGGGUUACAUAACCGCUUGACUCAGCUGGGAGUUAAUCUCCCGGAUGAUGCGGUCAUUGACAGAAUCCUCCAGUCGCUUCCACCAAGCUACAAGAGCUUUGUGAUGAACUUCAAUAUGCAGGGGAUGGAAAAGACCAUUCCUGAGGUAUUUUCAAUGCUGAAAUCAGCAGAGGUAGAAGUCAAGAAGGAACAUCAAGUGUUGAUGGUGAAUAAAACCACUAAGUUCAAGAAGGGCAAGGGUAAAAAGAACUUCAAGAAGGACGGCAAAGGAGUUGCCGCGCCCGGCAAGCAAGCUGCUGGGAAGAAGCCAAAGAAUGGACCCAAGCCCGAGACUGAGUGCUUUUAUUGCAAGGGAAGUGGUCACUGGAAGCGGAACUGCCCCAAAUACUUAGCAGACAAGAAGGCUGGCAAAACGAAAGGUAUAUAUGAUAUACAUGUAAUUGAUGUGUACCUUACUAGUACCCGUAGUAGCUCCUGGGUAUUUGAUACCGGUGCAGUUGCUCACAUUUGUAACUCAAAGCAGGGGCUGCGGAAUAAGCGGAGACUGGCAAAGGACGAGGUGACGAUGCGUGUUGGGAAUGGUUCCAAGGUCAAUGUGAUCGCCGUCGGCACGCUACCUCUACAUUUACCUUCGGGAUUAGUUUUAAACCUUAAUAAUUGUUAUUUAGUGCCAGCUUUGAGCAUGAACAUUGUAUCGGGAUCUCGUUUAAUUCGAGAUGGCUACUCAUUUAAAUCCGAGAAUAAUGGUUGUUCUAUUUAUAUGAGAGAUAUGUUUUAUGGUCAUGCUCCUAUGUUGAAUGGUUUAUUCUUAAUGAAUCUCGAGCGUAAUGCUACACAUAUUCAUAAUGUGAGUACCAAAAGAUGUAAAGUUGAUAAUGAUAGUCCCACAUACUUGUGGCACUGCUGCCUUGGUCACAUAGGUGUCAAACUUAUGAAGAAGCUCCAUGCAAAUGGACUUUUAGAGUCUCUUGAUUACGAAUCAUUUGACACGUGCGAACCAUGCCACAUGGGUAAGAUGACCAAGACUCCGUUCUCAGGAACAAUGGAGCGAGCAACCAACUUAUUGGAAAUCAUACAUACUGAUGUGUGCGGUCCAAUGAGUGUUGAGGCUCGCGGUGGCUAUCGUUAUGUUCUCACCCUCACUGAUGAUUUGAGUAGAUAUGGGUACAUCUACUUAAUGAAACACAAGUCUGAAACCUUUGAAAAGUUCAAGGAAUCAACGUGACAGGAAAAUCAAGUUUCUACGAUCAGAUCAUGGAGGAGAAUACUUGAGUCACGAAUUUGGCACACACUUAAGAAAAUGUGGAAUAGUUUCACAACUCACGCCGCCUGGAACACCUCAGCGUAAUGGUGUGUCCGAACGUCGUAAUCGCACUCUAUUAGAUAUGGUACGAUCUAUGAUGUCUCUUACCGAUUUACCGCUAUCUUUUUGGGGCUAUGCUUUAGAGACUGCCGCAUUCACUUUAAAUAGGGCUCCGUCGAAAUCCAUUGAGACGACACCGUUUGAAUUAUGGUUUGGUAAGAAACCUAAGUUGUCAUUUCUAAAAGUUUGGGGAUGCGAUGCUUAUGUCAAGAAACUUCAACCUGAAAAGCUCGAACCCAAGUCGGAAAAAUGCGUCUUCAUAGGAUACCCUAAAGAAACUGUUGGGUAUACCUUCUACCUCAAAUCCGAAGGCAAGUUCUUUGUUGCCAAGAAUGGAUUCUUUCUAGAGAAAGAGUUUCUCUCAAAAGAAGUAAGUGGGAGGAAAGUAGAACUUGAUGAAGUAUUACCUCUUGAACCGGAAAAUGGUGCAACUCAAGAAAAUGUUCCUGAGGUGCCUGCACCGAAUAGAGAGGAAGUUAAUGAUGAUGAUCUAGAUAUUUCUGAUCAAGCUCCUACUGAAAUUCAUAGGUCCACAAGGACACGUUCCGCACCAGAGUGGUACGGCAACCCUGUCUUGAAAAUCAUGUUGUUGGACAACGGUGAACCUUCGAACUAUGAAGAAGCGAUGGCGGGCCCGGAUUCCGACAAAUGGCUAGAAGCCAUGAAAUCCGAGAUAGGAUCCAUGUAUGAAAAUGAAGUAUGGACUUUGACUGACUUGCCCGUUGAACGGCGAGCCAUAUAAAAUAAAUAGAUCUUUAAGAAGAAGACAGAUGCGGAUGGUAAUGUGACCAUCUAUAAAGCUAGGCUUGUCGCUAAGGGUUAUCGACAAGUUCAAGGGGUUGACUACGAUGAGACUUUCUCACCGGUAGCGAAGCUAAAGUCCGUCUGAAUCAUGUUAGCAAUUGCCGCAUUCUACGAUUAUGAAAUAUGGCAAAUGGACGUCAAAACGGCAUUCCUUAAUGGUUUCCUUAAGGAAGAAUUGUAUAUGAUGCAGCCGGAAGGUUUUGUCGAUCCUAAGAAUGCUAACAAGGUGUGCAAGCUCCAACGCUCGAUUUAUGGGCUGGUGCAAGCAUCUCGGAGUUGGAACAUUCGCUUUGGGCAUAUUUCCAACACAUGCUCCUCUACAUCGCCGCAACCAGCCGGGUGGUCAGCACCGUCAUCGUAGUCCAAUGCCCAGAAGAGGGCCGAGCCCAGCCGGUCUAGAGGCCGGUGUACUAUUUGAGCGAGGUACUGUCCGCCUCGAAGCAGAACUACCCGCACUACCAAAAGAUGUGCUAUGGCGUGUACUUCACCGCCAAGAAGCUGAAGCCCUACUUCCAAGAGUGUCCCAUCACGGUCGUAUGCACCGCCCCGCUGGCCGAGAUCAUAGGCAGCCGGGAUGCAUCCGGCCGGGUGGCGAAAUGGGCCAUCGAGCUGGCCCCUUACAUGAUCUUCUACCAGCCCCGCACCGCCAUCAAGUCCCAGGCAUUGGCCGACUUCCUCGUCGACUGGGCCGAGACCCAGUACCUACCGCCGGCUCCCAACUCCACUCAUUGGCAUAUGCACUUCGAUGGGUCCAAGAUGAGCACCGGUUUGGGAUCCGGCGUCGUCCUCACCUCUCCCAAAGGCGACAAGCUCAGAUACACGCUGCAAAUUCACUUUGCCACCUCCAACAAUGUGGCCGAGUACGAGGCGCUCAUACACGGGCUCCGGCUUGCCAAAGAGCUCGGCAUUCGCCAGAUCCUAUGUUAUGGCGACUCGGACAUGGUGGUCCAGCAAUCAUCCGGCGACUGGGAUGCCAAGGACGCAAAUAUGGCAAGCUACCGCUUCCUCGUUCAACAAAUCAGUGGGUAUUUUGAAGGAUGCGAGUUCCUCCACGUACCGCGAGCCAGCUGAUGCUCUGGCUCGAAUAGGCUCCACCCGGCAAGCAAUACCAACCGGUGUCUCUCUACAACGCCUCCUCAAGCCGUCUAUCAAGCCGUCUCCAGAGUCCGAUUCCAUCUUCAUGCUGCCUGACCCCGACGCGGCCGGGUCUGGCUCGAAGAACCAAGCAGGUGACCCGGGGACUUCGAUAGUCGGCCCAGGGACGUCAGUAGGCGGCUCGGGGACUUCCUAGUUACGCCCGACCCGGGGACUGCCACACCCGGCUCGGGGACUGCGGUAGUCGGCCCGGGGACUGCACCAACACAACAGCCGGCGGCCGACUCCAGCAUUUCACCACCCAGCCCGCCCGCCCUGGUCGCAGUAGCCACAUUGGCAAUAGAAGAAGUCGCAGCUCCAUCAUGGGCUCAGUCCAUCCUCAACUUCCUAAUAAACCAAGACCUGCCGGUUGCUGAAACAGAGGCAAGACAAGUCCAACGCCGAGCCGGAGCAUACACAAUCAUCAACAGAGAGCUCGUCAAGCGCAGUGUCACUGGAGUCCUCCAGCGAUGCGUCAAGCAAGAGAAGGGCAUUGCAAUCCUCAGAGACAUCCACCAAGGAAAAUGCGGCCACCAUGCGGCCUCAAGAUCACUCGUCGCCAAGGCCUUCCGCCAUGGUUUCUUUUGGCCGACUGCUUUGGAUGAUGCCAAGGAGUUAGUUAAACAUUGCAAAGGGUGCCAACUCUUCAGCUCCAAGCAACACAUGCCGGCUUCAGCACUCAAGACCAUCCCCCUCACUUGUCCCUUCGCCGUUUGGGGACUAGACAUGGUGGGCCCAUUCAAGAUGGCGCGCGGCGGCAUGACACAUUUGCUUGUCGCCGUAGACAAAUUCACCAAGUGGAUUAAGGCAAAGCCGAUCAAGAAGCUGAAUGGGCCGACUACCGUAACAUUCAUCGCAGAUAUAACAACUCGGUACGGCGUGCCACACAGCAUCAUCACUGACAAUGGCACGAAUUUCGCCAAGGGAGCCUUGGCACGUUUCUGCGCGACGCAAGGCAUCUGGCUGGACUUAGUGUCCGUCGCCCACCCGCAGUCAAACGGCCAGGUCGAGCGAGCCAACGACCUCAUCCUUUCCGGCAUCAAGCCCCGACUGGUCGUACCACUGGAGCGUUCACCCGGCUGUUGGCUCGAUGAGCUGCCGGCUAUCCUCUGGAGUCUGCGCACUACUCCAAACAAGUCAACCAACUUCACUCCUUUCUUCCUCGUGUAUGGCGCCGAGGAGGUCAUCCCAACCGACAUCGAGUUCGACUCACCUCGGGUAGCCAUGUACUCGGAGGCGGAGGCCAAGGAAGCACGAGAAGACGGCGUCGACCUGCUGGAAGAGGGCCGGCUGUUAGCCCUCAGCCAGUCCGCCAUCUAUCAGCAGGUCCUGCGCCGCUACCACAGCCGGAAGGUCAAGCCAAGAUCCUUCCAAGAGGGUGAUCUUGUGCUCCGGCUGAUCCAGCAAACAGCCGGCCAGCACAAGCUCUCGGCCCCUUGGGAGGGCCCCUUCGUCAUCAGCAGAGCUUUAGGCAACGACUCCUACUACCUAAUCGACGCGCAGAAGCCGAAGGCACGAAAGAGAGAUGACUCCGGCAAGGAGUCGGAACGACCAUGGAACGCCAACCUCCUCCGAAGAUUUUACAGUUGAAAUGCAGUAUGUAUCACGCUAACUUUUGUACUAAGUAUGAGACAAUAGGCCCCCCGAGGAGAGCUCGGGGACUGCCAUCUUUUAUCUAUGAAUGAAGAAUAUCAUGCUUAUGACCUUGUCAUUAUAUUUACUCUUUUCGUCCGGCACCGGGUUCGACUAGUCGGCCCGGGGACUGGCCGCCUAGAGUUAUAUUAGAAGUCCUACCCGCGGUCAGACAAGUAGUGUGCCGGCACCCAAGCCUUCUCUUGCCAAAAGUCGCAGUUUGAAGAACCGACUGUCCGGCUGGCAAGAGUUAAAAGCAAGAAAGGACGCCCACACGAAAAACGGCUAGGGACUAAUGGACUAAUAUAACAAAAGCCGGUUUUUCUCCCACCACCAACCGACUACCAGAGUAGCCGGCUGGCCGGCUUCCAUUCACCUCACUUCAGUCCAAGAAAGCUCGAGUACUUGCCUCCCCAAAAGGGGAAGGCGGCAAAGGAAACAGCCUAAGGAUAAAAAGCAUACGUGAAUGAAAACCAAACAUGCACACAAUCAUAUUUACAUAAAAGACCUUCAAGAGGCCAGCAUUCAACAUAGUUUGGAUACACCCCCAGUGGGUGGAACUGCGAAAGCUUAAUAAAAUUGUUCAGAAGGCAACAAGUAGGAAAAAACGAGGAUGGCAGAUUAAGCCGGGGGAGCGACUGACGAGCCGGGCAGGUCGGUGGAGACGGCAGUGCCGGCUGGAGGAGUGGCCGGCUGACGAACCUCGGCAUGAUCACCGCCUUCCACAGAGGGCGUGCUAGCCCGCGCCUUGUUGCUAGAGGCACGAUCAGGCUGAGGCCGGCUGGCCGCUUCACCGGCCGGCUCAACGUCUUCGCCCUGCUCUCCUUCGUCGUCUUCGCCUUCAUCGCUGGAGGCGAUCUCCUCUGCCGAGUCUUCACCCGCUGCCGGGUCCAGCCCAAACCACUCCUCCGGCUGGGCAACACCGUCAUCAUUAAUUUCCGGAGCCAAGACACUGAUGUCAGUACACUCGGUGAUCGUCGAAGCGCGCUGAGCGAUAGCCGGCCGCACCUCCUCCGGCUCUUCGUUGGCCUCCAGCCGCCAGGUGUGCAGCUGGUCCAGGUUUAGCCCCGGAUACCAAGCUCGGACGAACUCCAGCGCCCGCCCAGCUCCAAGCCGGGCUGCCGAUGCCUUCCAGGCCUCGAAGCGGCCAACCGCAACCUCCAGCUAGUCGGCAGUCCGGCCUGGGGUGCGGGGAAUCGUCUCGCCUGGCCAGAGGGCGGCCAACACCUGUGCUCCGGCGCGCUGGAGGUGGCGGAGCAUAUGAUGUGCCGGCUGCAGUCAGGCUUGGACCGCCAAGAGUUGCUCUUCGAGCGUCCGACUCGCGUCCGGCGCGACUUCAGCCCCCCUCUGCCGGCGCGCUUCACAAUGGGCCUCGAUGGUUUGGGCGGCGAAGACGGAGUAGCCGGGAAAGUAGUCUACGCGGAGAACAAAAAGCACCACAAGUCAGAACACAAAUCAGGCGGCAAGGGGCAACCAAGGAGCGAGGAAGGCAGCUUACCGUCGAUCAAAUCCUCAAUACGGCCGAAGCCCUCAUUCAGCGCUUGCCUGGUCUUAGCCCAGCUCGCCGCUUCAGUCUCGAACUCGGCCUUCAGGGCGGCUUCGUUAUCCUAUGCCUUCUUCAGGGCCGCCUUGUGGCUCUCCUCCUGGUCAGCCAGCUUCUUGGCUAGGCGUUCACGCUCCAGGACCAAGGCGUCGUACUUGGUUUCCUUGGCGCGAAGGGCGGCCUGCGCCUCGCUGAGCUGCCCCCUCAAGUCAGCAUUGGCUCCUGCGAGCACGAAAGACAAAAGAAAAACCAAUAAGGUGAAGUCGUCAGGGAAGAUCCGACCCGACUGCUCAGCAGUUGGCCCGAAUCUCUAGGACUACACCCAGUGGGUGCGCUAACGCGCCCCCACAGGAGAUGAACGAAACCAAGUAUGCACUCCGGCUGCUGAUCAGGUCUUCGGUUCUCCGGCUCAGCUCCUGAGCCUGGGAGUUGAAGGCGGCAGCGCGGAGGUUAUGAUACUCCUGGAAGAGUAGACAGGAGGCGAGAAUAAGAUAGUCGUCAAGAAAGAUCCGACCCGACUGCUCAGCAGUCGGCCCGGAUCUCGGGGACUACACCCAGUGGGUGCACUGAUGCGCCCCCACGGAAAUAAUCAAAGAGCAAAAACAACCCAGGUCAGAAGACUCACCCGGAUGACGGCCCGUGUCGCAAGGAACUCCUGGGUGUAUUGCUGCAGCGAGGCGGCUUGGGCCUGAAGCCGGUUCCGAACCUCUUGGGCCGCCACGUUCAGCUCGCCCGUCCCCCCGCUGGGAGUCCACUCGGAUGUGCCGGUGCUGGCCGCCUCCAGGGCCUCCGCCGUCUGGCUGGCACCCGUAACUCGGUGCGGCUCCGGUGCAGUGGUGCCUCCCCCUGCACAUCGUCGCAUUGCCGGCUGCACCUCGAGGCCGGCUCCUGCUUCCGGCUCACCCCCAGCCGGCUGCUUUGGCGCCGCAGCGGAUUGGCCGCUUUGGCCCGCCCCAGUCGGUGCUGUCUGCGGCGUCCCUUCCACGGAGGCCACAUGGACCUCCCUCCUCUCCAUCACCGGCGGUUAUUGGUCGACCUCCUCCAACGGAGGCGCAGGGAUGUUGGGGGCCACGGCGCGGAGGGGAAUGACGAGCAGCGGAGGCGGUUUGUGCGAGGCUUCCGCCUCCGUCUCCGCGGCUGCCGCGUCCGCCCGGGCCUUAGCCGCCGCGUCGGCUUGCUCCUUCGUUGCCUGGGCGGUCCUCCGCUCCGCCGCCUCCCGCUCCUCCCGCGCCUCCCGUGCGUUCCACUCCGUGGCCUCCCUAAGGUCGGCACGGGGAUCCACGCGACGGGAGCCUGAAGACCCUCCAGUCGGCCCGACUACAGAGCCGCCCGGACCCCGCUCAAGGGAAAGCGGUGCCCUGUCCGGUGAGCAAAGGGGUUUAGAAGAGUUUCGGUCGAAAGGGACAACAAAAAAUACAUAUACAAAGCAUUCGACGACUUACGCCGAGAUCUCCUGCGGCUGUUUCACCGCCUUGCGGAAGCGGGCCGCCUUCGCGGCCGCCUCAUCUCGCUUGGUCGCCGCUGUGGAAGCCUUGGAUUUCUUCGGCCGGCUGCCGAAGAGGAUUGACGCGGCCCGGCGCUUCUGCGAGCCGCCACAGGCGGCCGAUGCGGCGGACGAGUUCGUGCCUUGAUGAUCAGGUGCCGGCUAGCGGCGCGGGGCGACUUCGACCUCGGCAUCGUCCAGCCAGUCCUCGAAGCCGGCCGUGAGCCCCGUGCCUCCGGCCUCGUUGCUUUCCCCCACAAUGGCGUCUUCCAUGGCGGCCGCACCCAGGUCCGGGUCGUCGGCGUCGUCCACCAUGCGGUCGGGGAGGAGCUAACGCUCUACCCCUGCGGCCACGGUCGUCGGCGGAAGGAGAGGGUUCUGCCAAGGGAGAACCAACUAAUCAGAAGUCGGCUAUCAUGAGGCCGGCUACCAACGGAAGAGAAGAAGGAAAAACUUACGACAGGCGGAGGGUUGGCGCGAGAGUACGGCUCCUUGCCGUAUCGCCAGUCCUCGGCGAGCUUGUAGUUGGAGAUAUAGUUCACCAUGUAAGACACCUCUGCAUGAGGCAUCUCCCUGGUGCUCAGCCGACAUGGGUCGAAGCGGCCGCUCAUCUGACAAAUCAUGUGAGGCCGGCUUUGGAGGGGAAGUACCCGGCGCUCCAUGAAGGCGGCCACCAAGUCGGCUCCGGUCAGGCCCUCCGACUGGAUCAUCACCCGAAGCCGGGAGACGGCUGCGUUCCCGGCCUGAGACAACGACCUGGCCCGGUAGCUCCACGAAGGUCGCCUCCCAGCCGGCGGGCCGGCUUCAUAAGCUGGCAGGUUGACGUAGUCGCCUUGCUGCGCGACGUUCUUCACGUAAAAGUAAGACUUCUGCCAGAGCUUCACCGACUGGAUCAGCGGGAUGGGCGGGAACGGGUUGUUCUCGCCCGACCGCCUCAUGGCAAUAUAGGCUCCGCAGGGGGCGGGCACGCCCGCGACGACGGUGCCGAGCUUGCUCUGGAAGAAUUCCCCCCAGAGCUCGAGCGUGGGGAGGACCCCAAGGAAGCCCUCGCACAGGGUGACGAAGGCCGACAGCAGCAGCACCGCAUUGGGCGUGAGGUGAUGCGGCUGGAGGUUGUAGAAUUCGAUAAAGGCUCGAAGGAACCCGCUCGCCGGAAGGCCGAAGCCGCGCAGGCAGUGCGAGCGGAAGAUCACCCGCUCGCCCUCCUCCGGUGCUGGCGAAAUCUCCUUCUCCGGCGCUUGACGAACCCGCACGAACUUCUCGCCGGGCAGGCAUCGCGUCUGGCGGAGGAACUCGACGUGGUCCUCGUGGACGUUGGAGCCAUCCCACGAGCUCAACAGCGCCAUGGGAGCAAGACGAUGCGGCGGCGGAACGGCGCAGCGGUGGGUGGCUGCGGCGGCAAGAAGAAGAAGAAGGAAGACGAGGAGGGGCGAAGCGAGGGAGAGCGUGCGAACCCCUGUCUCUCCCCCUCCUCCCCCUACUUAUAGACCGGCGUGGCGGAGCCGAGGAGGCGUGGCGUGGGGGGAACGUGGGGAUCAACUGUGCCCACUCCCCCAUGUCCCGCGAUCAUUGUGCCCUAAUGGCGUAAUAAAAUCUGUUGGAAAUAUGCCCUAGAGGCAAUAAUAAAAGCAUUAUUAUUAUAUUUCCUUGUUCAUGAUAAUUGUCUUUAUUCAUGCUAUAAUUGUGUUAUCCGGAAAUCGUAAUACAUGUGUGAAUAAUAGACACCAACAUGUCCCUAGUAAGCCUCUAGUUGACUAGCUCGUUGAUCAAUAGAUAGUCAUGGUUUCCUGACUAUGGACAUUGGAUGUCAUUGAUAACAAGAUCACAUCAUUAGGAGAAUGAUGUGAUGGACAAGACCCAGUCCUAAACAUAGCACAAGAUCGUAUAGUUCGUUUGCUAGAGUUUUCCAAUGUCAAGUAUCUUUUCCUUAGACCAUGAGAUCGUGUAACUCCCGGAUACCGUAGGAGUGCUUUGGGUGUACCAAACAUCACAACGUAACUGGGUGACUAUAUAGGUAUACUACGGGUAUCUCCAAAAGUGUCUGUUGGGUUGACACGGAUCAAGACUGGGAUUUGUCACUCCGUAUGACGGAGAGGUAUCACUGGGCCCACUCGGUAAUGCAUCAUCAUAAUGAGCUCAAAGUGACCAAGUGUCUGGUCACGGGAUCAUGCAUUACGGUACGAGUAAAGUGACUUGCCGGUAACGAGAUUGAAUGAGGUAUUGGGAUACCGACGAUCGAAUCUCGGGCAAGUAACAUACCGAUUGACAAAGGGAAUUGUAUACGGGGUUGCUUGAAUCCUCGACAUCGUGGUUCAUCCGAUGAGAUCAUCGAGGAGCAUGUGGCAGCCAACAUGGGUAUCCAGAUCCCGCUGUUGGUUAUUGACCGGAGAGUCGUCUCGGUCAUGUCUGCAUGUCUCCCGAACCCGUAGGGUCUACACACUUAAGGUUCGGUGACGCUAGGGUUGUAGGGAUAUGUAUAUGCAGUAACCCGAAUGUUGUUCAGAGUCCCGGAUGAGAUCCCGGACGUCACGAGGAGUUCCGGAAUGGUCCGGAGGUAAAGAAUUAUAUAUAGGAAGUGCUAUUUGGGCCAUCGGGACAAGUUUCGGGGUUAUCAGUAUUGUACCGGGACCACCGGAAGGGUCCCGGGGGUCCACCGGGUGGGUCCACCUGCCCCGGGGGGCCACAUGGGCUGUAGGGGGUGCACCUUGGCCUACAUGGGCCAAGGGCACCAGCCCCAAGAGGCCCAUGCACCUAGGGUUCACAAAAGGGAAGAGUCCCACUAGUGGAAGGCACCUCCUAGGUGCCUUGGGGGGGAGGGAAACCUCCCUUGGCCGCCGCCCCCCUAGGAGAUUGGAUCUCCUAGGGCCGGCGCCCCCCCCCCUUGGCCCUCCUAUAUAUAGUGGGGGAAGGAGGGCUUUUCAUCCACACCUUUGGUUGCCUCCUUCUCCCUCUCCAACACCUCCUCCUCCUCCAUAGUGCUUGGCGAAGCCCUGACGGAGUACUGCAGCUCCAUCACCACCACGCCGUCGUGCUGCUGGUGGAGCCAUCUUCCUCAACCUCUCUUUCCCUCUUGCUGGAUCAAGAAGAAGGAGACGUUACGCUGACCGUACGUGUGUUGAACGCGGAGGUGCCGUCCGUUCGGUGCUAGGAUCUCCGGUGAUUUGGAUCACGUCGUGUUCGACUACCUCAUCCUCGUUCUUUGAACGCUUCCGCUCGCGAUCUACAAAGGUAUGUAGAUGCAUCCGACCACUCGUUUCUAGAUGAACUCAUAGAUGGAUCUUGGUGAAACCGUAGGAAAUUUUUUGUUUUCUGCAACGUUCCCCAUCAGUGGCAUCAUGAGCUAGGUCUAUGUGUAGUUCUUCUUGUGCGAGUAGAACACAAUUUGUUGUGGGCGUAGAUGUUGUCAACUUUCUUGCCGUUACUAGUCUUAUCUUGCUUCAGCGGUAUUGUGGGAUGAAGCGGCCCGGACCAACCUUACACGUACGCUUACGUGAGACCGGUUCCACCGACUAACAUGCACUAGUCGCAUAAGGUGGCUGGCGGGUGUCUGUCUCUCCCACUUUAGUUGGAGCGGAUUCGAUGAAAAGGGUCCUUAUGAAGGGUAAAUAGAAGUUGACAAAUCACGUUGUGGCUUUCACGUAGGUAAGAAAACGUUCUUGCUAGAACCCUACUUCAGCCACGUAAAACUUGCGACAACAAUUAGAGGACGUCUAACUUGUUUUUGCAGCAAGUGCUUUGUGAUAUGAUAUGGCCAAGGUUGUGAUGAAUGAUGAAUGAUCUAUAUGUGAUGUAUGAGACGUUCAUGCUAUUGUAAUAGGAAUCACGACUUGCAUGUCGAUGAGUAUGACAACCGGCAGGAGCCAUAGGAGUUGUCUUUAAUUUUUGUAUGACCUGCGUGUCAUUGAGAAACGCCAUGUAAAUUACUUUACUUUAUUACUAAACGCGUUAGCCAUAGUAGUAGAAGUAAUAGUUGGGGAGCAACUUCAUGGAGACACAAUGGUGGAGAUCAUGAUGAUGGAAAUCAUGGUGUCAUGCCGGUGACAAGAUGAUCAUGGAGCCCCAAGAUGGAGAUCAAAGGAGCUAUGUGAUAUUGGCCAUAUCAUGUCACUAUUAUUACUUGAUUGCAUGUGAUGUUAUCAUGUUUUUGCAUCUUGUUUACUUAGAACGACGGUAGUAAAUAAGAUGAUCCCUCAUAAUAAUUUCAAGAAAGUGUUCCCCCUAACUGUGCACCGUUGCGACAGUUCAUUGUUUCAAUGCACCACGUGAUGAUCGGGUGUUUGAUUCAAAUGUUCACAUACAACGGGUGUAAGACAGAUUUACACAUGCAAACACUUAGGUUGACUUGACGAGCCUAGCAUGUGUAUAGACAUGGCCUCGGAACACAGAAGACCGAAAGGUCGAGCAUGAGUCGUAUAGAAAAUACGAUCAACAUGAAGAUGUUCACCAACAUUGACUAGUCCGUCUCACGUGAUGAUCGGACACGGCCUAGUCGACUCGGAUCAUGUUAUACUUAGAUGACUAGCAGAGGGAUGUCUAUCUAAGUGGGAGUUCAUUGAAUAAUUUGAUUAGAUGAACUUCAUUAUCAUGAACUUAGUCUAAAAAAUCUUUGCAAUAUGUCUUGUAGAUCAAAUGGCCAACGUAGUCCUCAACUUCAACGCGUUCCUAGAGAAAACCAAGCUGAAAGACGAUGGCAGCAACUAUACAGACUGGGUCCGGAACCUGAGGAUCAUCCUCAUAGCUGCUAAGAAAGAAUAUGUCCUACAAGCACCGCUAGGUGACGCACCCGUCCCACAGAACCAAGACGUUAUGAACGCUUGGCAGACACGUGCCGAUGACUACUCCCUCGUUCAGUGCGGCAUGCUUUACAGCCUAGAGCUGGGGCUCCAAAAGCGUUUUGAGAGACAUGGAGCAUAUGAGAUGUUCGAAGAGCUGAAAAUGGUUUUCCAAGCUCAUGCCCGGGUCGAGAGAUAUGAAGUCUCUGACAAAUUCUUCAGCUGUAAGAUGGAGGAAAAUAGUUUUGUCAGUGAGCACAUACUCACUAUGUCUGGGUUACAUAACCGCUUGACUCAGCUGGGAGUUAAUCUCCCGGAUGAUGCGGUCAUUGACAGAAUCCUCCAGUCGCUUCCACCAAGCUACAAGAGCUUUGUGAUGAACUUCAAUAUGCAAGGGAUGGAAAAGACCAUUCCUGAGGUAUUUUCAAUGCUGAAAUCAGCAGAGGUAGAAGUCAAGAAGGAACAUCAAGUGUUGAUGGUGAAUAAAACCACUAAGUUCAAGAAGGGCAAGGGUAAAAAGAACUUCAAGAAGGACGGCAAAGGAGUUGCCGCGCCCGGCAAGCAAGCUGCUGGGAAGAAGCCAAAGAAUGGACCCAAGCCCGAGACUGAGUGCUUUUAUUGCAAGGGAAGUGGUCACUGGAAGCGGAACUGCCCCAAAUACUUAGCAGACAAGAAGGCCGGCAAAACGAAAGGUAUAUAUGAUAUACAUGUAAUUGAUGUGUACCUUACUAGUACCCGUAGUAGCUCCUGGGUAUUUGAUACCGGUGCAGUUGCUCACAUUUGUAACUCAAAGCAGGGGCUACGAAAUAAGCGGAGACUGGCAAAGGACGAGGUGACGAUGCGCGUCGGGAAUGGUUCCAAGGUCAAUGUGAUCGCCGUCGGCACGCUACCUCUACAUUUACCUUCGGGAUUAGUUUUAAACCUUAAUAAUUUCUUGCUAGUAUCACUGUGGGGGGAUCUAGAGAAAUAACACAAGCUACCAUAGGGAGCAUUCAUUUUCCUGCCAUACAUUAUUUUGCUCUCUUUAUAGGUAGAUGCAUAAAAAGGUAGGGAUGAGGCAUGUCAUAUGUGUGUUCCGGAUCUUAGUGUUCUCAGGAGUGUUGUAUUAGGAGAUAGACAAUAUAACUUGGGGCCAUUGUUGCACGUAGGUUGCAUAAUAACAAUAUUAAUGGAGAUUUGUUCAAUGGAAUUUACACAACCCGUUUAGCUAAUUUUCUUGAGGUACCCAUACAUGGAAAUGAUAUGGAGUUGCCUCCUGCUUAUGUAGAUUAUAAUGAUAUGGUUCGUCAUCAGUUUGUUGAGAGGAACGAACAGUUCCUCCAAUACCGACUAAUCUUUGACAGGCGUCGCACUGUCCAUGUUGCCCCCUGCUCCUGGUUUCUUUAACUUUCAGGCAAAAAGGAUAUAUAUUAUAACCAGGGAGGAGGCGAACGAGUAUGAGAGGAGGACGGAGGCAGCUUGCCUCCAAGCUGCAGCUCAUGAGGCAAUUGCCGCUGCAUCUCAGUACGACCCCAGCUACAACUUCGAUCUGUGGGCAUGGACCAACUUAGGCCAAAAGCCUAAGCUUGGGGGAGUAUGUAUCUCUCACCGACAUUACAUUCAUGUUCACACACUCAUGCCAGAUGUCGGUGCUCAUACUUUUUCAUUGUACUAUCCAUGCUAGUUUAAUUUCAUUUUAAGCUUUCUUCUUGUGUGUUGGAAAAACCUUAAAAAACAAAAAAAAAA
This 66596-nucleotide long non-coding RNA is filed under the name Triticum aestivum (bread wheat). Its description in RNAcentral is "long non-coding RNA (TAES_LNC010203)". The record is from RNAcentral. Lineage: Eukaryota; Viridiplantae; Streptophyta; Magnoliopsida; Poales; Poaceae.